This 67975-nucleotide long non-coding RNA is filed under the name Arabidopsis lyrata. Its description in RNAcentral is "long non-coding RNA (ALYR_LNC001649)". The record is from RNAcentral. Lineage: Eukaryota; Viridiplantae; Streptophyta; Magnoliopsida; Brassicales; Brassicaceae.
UUUUAUAAUGUAUUUUAAAAGGUUUUACAACGUAUUUAUAAGGUAUUUAUAAGAUAUUAUAAGAUUUUAUAAGCUAUUUUAUAAGGUUUUACAAGUUAUAAGGUUUUACAAGUUUUUUAUAAGGUUUUACAAGUUAUAAAUACCUUAUAAAACCUUAUAAGUACCUUGUAAAACCUUUUAAAAUACAUUGUAAAACCUUACAAAACACUUGUAAAUACUCAGUAAAACCUUUAAAAUACCUUCUAAAUUUUUCCCGCCAAAAAAAUUGCGGAAUCACUUUUCCCGAAAAAAAAAAUUUUGGCGGGAAUAUUGCGGGAUCACUUUUCCCGCCAAAAAUUUGCGGGACUACUUUCCCCGCCAAAAAAUAUUUUGUAUUUUGUGGACCUAAUUUUGUUUCAAAUAAGGGUAAAAUGGUCAUUAAAAAUUAAAAGAGGGCAAACUUAAAAAUGGACUCUCAAAGGAUGCAUUUUUGAAAAGGGGUAUUGAAAAAGGAGCAUUUUUAACCAUUUCUCAAAAGUAAAACUGUGGAAUAAAUUUUACUGUUAUAAUGAAUGGUAACCAAACAAUAAUAAUAAUAUCUUUAAGAAUAUAUUAAAUAGUAUAUAAAUCAAAUUUUAAUAAAAGAUACUAAUAGUUUUUAUAUAUAAUUAAUUAAUAGUUAAUUUGAAACUAAAAUUUGUAAACUAAAAUUAUAUAUAUAUAUCAUGUUAAAUAAUAAUAGUUAAUAUUAGCAUAAAAUAAAAUUAUAAGAGUAAUUUAAAAGAUAUUAUUUUUUUACAAUAUAAUCAUGUUUAAAUUUAUUUUACUAUUUAUAUUAUUUUCAAAUAAAACAUUAAGAGUAAUUCAGCAUGAAAUUUUUAUCAAAAAUAUAGUUCUGUUAAUAUAUUGUGAAUAUAUAGAAAUUAUUAUAUAUUAAAAUAGAAAUAUUAUUGAUAAACAUUAUUUUUUAUUUAUUUUAAAUAAAAAAAAAAAAACAAAUUUUGUUAUUUGUUCUUUUUUUGUUCUAUUUUGUUCCUUACAAAUUUUGGAGAGAAACAUUUUUGUUUUAUUGUUCUUCAUUUGUUGAGGAAUGUAGAGGAAUGAUGUGGAAAAAACAUUACCUGUAAUAGAUUGAAGAACAAAAAGGAAUAUCACAUUCAGGAAGAAAAACAAUAAGCCACUCGACCAACAUGGUCGAGUAACCCAGCUGCAACAUUCUCCCCAGUAUUCGACCAACUACUCAACUCUGUUGGUCAAGUAUCCUCUGUCGCCUCACUUCUCAACCAUUCGACCAACACUGCUCAGAACCACACGACCUUGAACUCGACAGCACUACUCGACCCGAUACUCGACCAACAUGGUCGAGUAUCCGCAGCCACCUCAUUCUUCCCAGACUCGACCAUGCCUCCUCAGAAGCACUCGACAAUGUGGUCUAGUAUAAUCAGCCAAGACAUCAUCCCAGCACUCGACCAUGUAAUAUCCACCUAGUACACUCCACCAUUCUCAUCCACAUACUUAUUUCGCAAGAGAUAAGGUAAAGUACACUCCCAUUAUCUCUCUCAUUUUCGUCUUCAACCUCACUCUCUCUCCCUCAUUCUCGAAAUCAUCUCCAUCUUUUAUCUCCCUAAUCUUUUUCACUCACACUCUCUAAUCGUUUCUUACGCUCUCAAGAACUCACGCGACCAUCACUCUCAAUCCGAUUUUCUCUCCAUUUCAUCAUCAACCCACCUCAAACUCCACCUUAAACACACUCCAUCAAAUCCACCAUCUCUCUCAAAAGCGAUUUCCACCACCACUCUACCACCACUAAUUUCACCGUUUUCUCUUCACCGCUCUCCCUAAAAAUUCCGAUUUCUUCAUCAUCUUCAUCCUAAUUUCCCUCUUAUCUCUCUCCCUAAACUCUCUCUCUUUUCGAAUUACUUCACUCUCUCUACAACUCGGAAAAAGAAGGUUUACUCGAGUAACUUGAAAGGAGAGACACUCGUCCAAAAAGGUGAAACACUCGAUAGUGACAGAGAAUAUAUACUCGACCAGACCAAGCAGAUACUCGACCAAACUGGUUUACUCCCGCUUUCAUAUCUUUCCUUGAAACUAAGCUAUUAACGUUUCGCUUUGAGUUCUCAAUUUUCUCAGGUUUACUAUGAGCAACUACAAUUGAGAUUCUUCUAUGGAUGCUGAUUAUAAUGUUGAUGAAGCUGAGUCAUGGUCUACUAGACCAGAGAGAGAGGAACAAGCUUAUGAAAGUUUUAGAGCUGAUAUGGAGCGAGCUGUAGCUCGCAGUCAGAGAUGAGUUGGAUUAUCAAGAGGAAAGCGGGCAAUGACAUAACAGUAUGAGUUAGUUGAUGAGGACAUAGAAGGCGAGUAUGUGCCAGAGCAAUCACAAAGAGCUACAAAGCAGUUGAACAAGCCUCAUGAGCUCAGAUCAUGUACUCGACUUAGCAGCUUCAGAGUCUUCUCAAAUUCGCACUCAACUAGACAUCUGAGCACAAGGAAGAGAAGAGGAUGAAGCAGACACUCGACCUACCACUCCACCUAGACACUCGACCUACCACUCCACAUAGCAAUAAUUCGUAAAGGCGCCAGCUUUACUCGACCACUUCUACUCGAUCAUAUGGGUCGAGUGUCUCUUUAAACCGCUUUAAAAUUUUGUCGUUUUGUGUUUUAGGGUUUCCUACGAUUUACUAUAGUCUUUUCUUCAUAUUUUUAAUCCAAAUUACUCUUAAUCUAUUCAAUAUUUGCUUUUGAUUUCUUCCUUAAAGUUGUUUAUCUUGUUGAGAUCUUUAAGUUAUGAAGUUUUUAGAGAAUUCUGGGUUUGUGUUCUUGUUCAUGAAUUUUGAGUAGUGAUUAGGGUUCUUAAGGAUGGGUUAGAGUAGUCUAGGAUCCUUAAUCUGUCAUGUGGUUAAGUUUGAUUGGUAGAUCCCUUCUAGAUUAGUUGUUCUUAAUUCUAAUUGCUUUCUAAUCAACUGGAAUUAGAACACAAGCAUUUCCUCACCCACAAGGUGUUUGAUGAAAUGCCUUAACCACUAAUUCUUGAGAUUCGUGUCUCUGUACCUAGGUGUUAGUUUCAGAGAGCGUUUUGGCUUUAACUUGUUGAUGCGAAAUGCCUUCUAGGUUAGCUUUCGUCAAUGGUGAUUGAGUCUUUAACUGGCUUAGCUUGAGGAUCUCUAUUUCGGUAGCACUUUGAUUUGGAGCUGAACUUGUUGUCUAGGGAUAGUUUGUUGAGCAUGUUAAGAAUAAAUAAGUAUACUGAUAGUGGAUCUCCUUGCCGUAAACCACAUUCAGGUAAAAUCAACCCUCUAGGCUGUCCACUAAGUAGGACCCUAUAUUGGACUGAUUUUAUACACCACAUCAUCCACGUUAUCCAUUUUUUGCAAAAACCUAUUUUACGCAACAUGUUCUCUAUGAAAUCCCAUUCUAUCCGAUCAUAAGCAUUACUCAUAUCUGUUUUGAUGGCCAUAAAUUUUCUUUUGCAAGACGUAUUUGUUCGGAGGGCAUGAGCAUCUCUUGCGCUAUAAGAAUGUUAUCUGAGACCAAUCUACCUUCGACAAAAGCCGAUUGUGCCGAUUGAGUUCUCACUUUUUUCUCUGUUGCUAGAGCUGUUGAAUAAUCAUUUAUUUGCUCCGUAAUAGUGAUUUUAACCUCCUUUAACGAAUCAUCAAAAUCUUGACCAAGAUUUCCGACCACUAGACCAAGAUUUGUUAUAACCAAGAGCUUGGCCACCUUUUGCUAUAACCUAAUAUAGACCAAAAACUGACUUACGUUGCAUCUGUGUCUCUCUUAACUUCAAGAAACGCCAAUGAGAUACCCACCAUCAAACCCAUUUCAAGAUAAUCGCAAUUACAUCCCAACAAAAGACUUCAGACCCCUCAGAUGCCUCAUAUAUGGACUUAUUUGCUUCUACCCUGAAAACUUUACCCUUCCUUGCUUUUCUCCAUAACUCAAAAUGUCUCAAUUUUUUCUUAAACCAAUAAAACAUCAACACAGAAAGCAGACGAACCCCAUGUACCUCUACCAACGUGAUCAAACCACCAUUCGCCACCAAUUUAAGCCCUCCUCGAAAAACUCGGAUACCCAUCCCCUCGCAUCCAUACUUCAACUUCUGAAAUAAGAUAAACCCCCAUCGAAUCCAUCGUCUAAGUGCCUCUGUUACCAACGAAACCAAAAAAAACAACCGAACUGUGGAUGUAGGAUUCACACUCGAUUAUCUUUAAGUAUUUUUGUGGAGAAAAACUCUUGUUAAAUCAGGAAAUAAAUAUGAGAAUUUGAAAAGGAAAACAACCAAGAAAAGGAGUAAAGAAAUUUGACGAAAGAUGAAGUGCAAAAUGCCUUGCGAAAAAUUGUAAAGAGAGAAAAAUGUAUUGUAUUGUUUAGAAGUAAUCAGUAAUGAGAUUCGUCCUCCUCAAACACAUGCGUUUGAGGUUGUUUUUAUAGAGAAAACAUGAUCAAUGCGGUCAUUUACUGCUCAUAAUCGCGUUGAUCCGCAUUAAUCAUGUAAGUUACAUUUUGACCGAAACGGCUUGAAUUUGAACUAUCUUAGGCUUCGCGUGGAUCUUACGAACUCUUUCUUGUUGACUCCGAACUCCCGCGUCUUGACGCUGCCGCGAGCCUCGAACAAUAUUCUCCUCGCUUCGGCCUUUCUCUAUGCGAACUGUAUGUUGAAUAAGAGCGAACUCCGUACUGGUAAAGAUCAAACUCUUUUAGUAAACUGAAUCGAACUCCCGACUGGUUAAGCUCGAUCUCAUAACAAAAUAUCAUUAAUUCCAAGAGGAUUAUUAUGAAAUAAUGACGUGGACAGAUCCAAGUGGAUCCUACCAAAAAAUGUGUGGGAUCCGACCCCAACAUUUAGUCCCCCAGUAAUUAAUGACUCAAGAUCUUUAAUAUUCCGGAAUUAUUCUAUGUUUUACGUUAUUACGCUGAUCUCGGAUAAUCAAAUGAUUUGAUAUCCCUGACAACCGUCAUCAUUAAUUUUCUAUUUUUAUAUUAAUACUGCGGGGAAAACUGUCCUACUUCCCAAUAUUCUCGAGGCGCUUUUCAUCAUACUUUAGGGUUCUAAGAGGUAACAUUACUUUUCCAUCUUAUCUUCUUUACCUAGUGAACUUUCAUUCCUUUUACAGAAGUCAUUAUCUCUUUUCGGUAAAAAAUCCCUUUCGUAAAAUGUCGAACCUUUCUUCUGAAUUUCGCGAAUAUGAGGCUGACGAUAUCAAAGCUCUCAUGGGUGAAGGAACCGAACCUCAAAUCCCAACCGGAGACGGGUUUGAUCUUCACCCCCAGAGUGAAUCGACUGUCGAUUCUCUUAACGAUCUUCGUAGAUUGUGUCACAUCCCCCCUGAAGUAGAGAUGGUAGUCCCGGAGCCCUUCGAGUCUCCGGAGUCAGGGCGAGAAGGUUACUGCUGCGCCUAUAAAAUUUAUUUCAAAGGGUGCGGCUUAUUCUUUCCGCUUCCUGAGAUACUUCUCGUUUACCUCAACCAUCUAGGAAUUGCUUUUUCUCAGAUGUCGCCCAACAUGCUCCGGUAUCUUUUGUGUACCUUCACUGUUGCGGCGGAGGCGGGCUACUCAUUGGGACUUUGCGAACUCUUGGAACUUUUCCAAGCUCGCGAAUCCCGAACUUCUGGGUAUUAUGCCCUUUAUCCGAUCGCGGAUCGGAAUCUUAUUGACGGCCUGCCUUUAAAGGACAACGCUUGGAAGAAGUUUUGGUUCUUCUUCCGCAUAAAUAAUUUUUCUAUUCAGAGUUCUUCCGAACUCCUUCGAACUCACUGGUCAUCGAAUUUGGCUAGAAAUUAGGACUUAACUGAAUAAAUUUCCUAUGUUAUUUCAAACUGCGUUUCAACAUUUACUUGUUUCCAUGCAGGUUCCCAGAUUCGGCCAGUUCCAUCCGUUGAUUUUCUUAACUUCUACAAGGCUGUCUUGGAGAAGCCAGUUAAUUGGAAUUCUUUUACUUUAGAAAGAAUCCACGGUGCCGGAUUUUCUGUCAGAAUGAGCCUAACUCACCCCGUCGCCCUUCCUCCUGCCGAGAUUGAUCUCUCGAGUCUAAAUGCCCGAGAUAGGAGAAAGAUCAAGGAGACAAACAAAAAGAUUAAAGACCAGAUUUCUCUGGUCGGGAAAAACAAGAAAAACGCAACCUCCACCGGGGACGACAAAGUCUACCGGAAAACUCUCCUAGUUGACGAUGGAUCUCUUGAAGGUUCAAAGUCAAUGGCGGUUGCUGUGAACAACGCUCCUUCCCCCAUCCCAACAACAGACAAUGUGGUCGCUGCCACUGCCGAGGAAGAAGGCCUUACAGGUGAUUCUUCUCUCAUGAGAAAGAGGAAGGCUGAGGAACUUGAACCCCCGCUCCAAGGACGCCCCAAGAACACAAGGAAGGGCAGAGCCGCUUCUUCGAAUCUGUCAAUUUCUGAACCUGCUGAAGCUCAGGAUGUAAAUCCUGAUUCAGGAAUUGUUUUAAAGGAACCGCUGGGUUCAGGGAUGUUACCCCCUAGACGUCCCCGAGGCAAUACCUCUAGGGUUUGAUCGUCUCCGAGCUCAGGACUUGUUGCCAGAGCUUCAUCCCAAUCAGGUAACCUUUAAUUGUCAUACUGUUACUUGAGAUUAAUCGACCCUCUUUUUUUUUAGAAGCUCAAUCCUCACAUAACUAUCUUUAUUCUAGAUAAAGAGAAGAUUGGGAAUAUGUUUAGGUGCUUCCACACCCGCUUUGGGAAGAAACUCCCGUCCUUUGAGUGGUGGAAGCCUGAUAUCAAAAAGAUGUAUAUCAGUCAUUCAUUCUACUCCUCCCAGGUUUGACUAUUUGCAUCCUUGAACAACCAAAUUUUAAAAAAAUUUCUUUUAUUAAGGCAUCCUUUUUCAUUAGGCAACUCUGGACGUGAAUGGCAUCAUCAACUAUUACGAAGAGGAGCUUGCCAAAGUUUCCAAGAAAGCUGCUGUUGCUGAAGGAGAGAUCGAGAAACUGCAAUCUUCCAGUCAGCUUGUGCAGGAGACUGCUGGCCUUGAUUCGGCUCGCCAGGAGAAAAUCGAACAACUCGAGAAAUCUGGCGAGGAGACAAGGAAGAUUCUAAUCGAAACUAAGCAAAGGCUAGAGACUGCCCUUGCUGACCAUAACCUCGCAAAGGGCGAGAUUGAGCUUCUGAGAUCACAGCUUGACAGGGUCAAAACAGCUGCUGAGGAGCUCAAACGCAAAAAUGAAUCUCUUUCCGAAUUCAAAGAUCGAGAUGUUCGCAAAAUAUCUCACGAUGCUCGGAAAGAGGUUAAAGGAGCUGGGCAAAAGUUUCUUCUUGCUGUGCAGGAAUUUAUCACUGCAGAUAAAGCUUGGAACAAACUUAACUCCGAGCGUGAUGAGAUGAAGAGUAAUCUCGAUCUGAUCAAGGAGAUAGAGGACGGAAAGGUCAACUUAGCUGAGCUCGCUGAGACUGAAGCUAAGCUAGCUACUGCUCCUCAGCCAUAUUUGAAUUUGCAGUAGUUUGUUUCUGAGUUCGCUGAUUCCCCUCUAUUGACUGAGCCAAAUAUUGGUUUGUCUCUGGACGAGAUGAUGUUAACAGGUUCUCCUCGCGCUCAUUUUAAUGAGUUCGGAACCAAUGUUGACAGAAUCUCCUCGGGACGAGCUCAGGGGUUCUCUGGUCAUGAUCCUGCCAUCUCCUCGAUUAUGGGAGACGGCCUUGAAUCGAAGAGCGAACCUCCUCAAGAUGCUAGCUCGCUUAACCCUGAGGUGGUUCCAACAACUCAGAACGCUGACGUCGGGAGUGCUCUUGUCUCAAAUCAAGCAGGAGAUGAAGGCGGUUCGCCUAUGAUUGAAUGAUGGUGAUUGCAUUCACCUUUUAUUGGGAUUGUCCCUUUAAUUUUAAGACAUGAAAUUAGCUGUGUUGGCCAUGGGGCCGUUUAUUUCUCCUUCGAGUUUUCUGCCCAAGGGGGCUUUUGUUAUUGUUUUGAAUAAUUUGCCCAAGAGGGUUCUUAAUUAAAAUUUCUUUAGAAAGAAAUAUUUAAUCUUGGUGGAAACCAUCGAUUUUACCUGGAGGGUUUGCAAAGUCCUCCUAAUCGAAGUGGUUUAGGAUUAUAGGAGAGAUAGGCUGAUCAGACCUACUUGCUUUUUUUAAAGAAAAAACAUUGGAAUUUUUCCUCGGUCUCUCGAUUGCGAGGUUAGAGCUCGGCUUACAAGAACACUUUGCAAUACUUCAAAUGUGUUCGAUUAGGGAAAUCUCUAGUGAGAACUGUUUGCUUUUCCUAAGAGAAAAAAAAGGUGUGAUACCAUUUAUUGAUAGUCUUCUAAUUUUGAGUUCGAAAUUAAGUUCGCCUACUAGGUGUUAAGUGAUACUUGAAUAACCUAUAUUUCGUAGGUCUUGUUUGUGCAUGUACACGAAAAUCGAGAGGUCAUAACAGUCAGAUCAAUAGAUUGACGUUUAACUUUCUUUUUCAAUAAAUACUCGAGUGAGUGCCCUUACAUAUUUUUUCUAUAUAAGGAGAGUUGGAUUUUGGAAAUUUUCCAAUAGAUACUCUUUUAUAAGGAACUUUGCAGUUCUUCUUUUUUGGAUCUACGAUGACAUCUCCCCAAGGCGAACCUUGUGGUCCUAAUUCGCCACGACUCCCUUCAAGCGAAUCUCUUUUCCCGACGGGGGAUGGAUUCACUCCACAAGGGGUGGCUAUUCCUUGUUUUCUUUCUUCCCUGUCUAGGGAAGAACAGAUCGAGUGCCAUGAAUUCAUGGAGCAGGUUUGAACCAAAUACCAAUGGUUUCAAAGUCUUACUUGAUAGAUUCGUAAUGUAUCUGUUCUUUUGCAGAUCACGGAAAGAUACGUUUUCUUCUGCUCCGAAAGGCAACGCCUCGGAAUGAAACGCCGUAACCUCGAGGACCGGAUUGCUAGAACAGAAAGGAAGAUCCGACAUUUGGAGUCGGACGUUCACAACUGGGAGAGGAGGGGAUUUGAUUCUAUCGCCCGCAUUCCCGGCUGUCUUCGAGAACACAUCAGGUUCCUGAAGAAGCAUUGGGAUAUCUACCAAAGGAGCCUCGAACCCGACGAACGUGAAGACGGUUCGUCAGGAGACGAAGUUCCUUCUGCGAACCCCCCUCCUUCUUAGUUUUUUUUUAUAUUAUUAUGUAACAUACUAUUGGGCUAGAGGCCCUGUAACAUUAAUUAUAUUUCCCUUUUCGCCUUAAAUUUGCCGAUUUACUCAAAUCUUAUUUAAUGCGUUUAUCUAGGGAAUAUAAUUAGUAAUUAACUCGAUUACAUUUUCCACGAAAGUAGUAAUUUCAGAUUUGGGAAAUCGUCAAUUAACCCUCUUAAAUGUGAUUGAGUAUUUUUCGAAUAUAAAGCAGAUUUAGAUCGUUAUUGAAUUUAAUCAACAAUAAUUCUACAAAAAUGUUUGAGGAAGGUAAUUUCUCAGAGAAUCCCUCCGACUCGAUUAAAAAGAUAAGUGAUGAUCUUCCGGAAACGCCAGACAUCGAUCUUGUAAAAACGGAAGCCAACGGCGAACCAGAAGAGUCACGCCCAUUGGGGUGGGGAACCAGCAUUCAGGUUCCAAAUGUGUUAAUUGAGAGAUUAUCAGCUCAAGAUCGUGUCAAGGCCAAGGAGUUUAUUACCAAGGUAUUAUUAAGCCUACUAACCUAACUCCUUUCGUUGUCUUGCUAAACGAAGCGUUUCAUUUUCUUCAGCUUGUCAUACGGCACGACGAGCUCGGAAAUGAGAGAAAAGAGAUUAGGCAAAGGAUAAUGGAACUAGACGAAGCGUCACCUUGAUAUUGCUCGCGAGCUUCAUCNNNNNNNNNNNNNNNNNNNNNNNNNNNNNNNNNNNNNNNNNNNNNNNNNNNNNNNNNNNNNNNNNNNNNNNNNNNNNNNNNNNNNNNNNNNNNNNNNNNNGCUUCACCAAAUCCACGACUGUUUUAACAGACACAUCUUCCAGAACAUCGUCCUCCGCACUACCAACCUGCAACACAUACACAAAAACGCAUAAACAAGCUACCCAAACAUUACAUCAAAUAUAAACUCACUACAUACCAUAUCAUUUACCUUUUCUUCUUUCUUCUUCUUCUUCUUCUUUUGUACAUCUCUUUCAUAAGAUUCACCACCCUCACGUUUUUCCACCAAAUCACUUACAUUUCUUUCUUUCUUCUUCUUCUUCUUCUUCUUUUCUGCAUCUCCUUCACCAGAUUCAACACCCUCACUGUUGAUCACAUCCUUGACAUUGUGGACUUUCUGCCUCUUUACGGGAGAUUCAGAGUCACUCGCUGCAUUAGAAUUUACAUUUUUCUUCUUCUUCUCAGUCUUCUUCACAUCCCAAUAACCUUUAACAAACUUAUCCUCAUGUAUGUCUCGGAUCAAAUUAUCAAGUGCUGGGUCCUCUUCUUCAUCUGGCCACGUAUGAAAUAGCUCUCUGACAUCAUCCUUCAUAACCAAUUUACUCACACGCAGCUAUAACAUAAGAGAUUAUAAAACCCAUUAGUAAGUUUAAACUGAAUCAUCAAUAAUUAUAACUCAGCCAUUACUAACCAUCACUAAUAUAACUCAGCCAUCCAUAAAUCAUAACUCAGUCAUCAAAAACGAUAACUCAGCCAUCACAAAAUUUAACUCAGCCAUUACUAAAAUAUAACUCAGUCAGUAACUAUCAUAACUCAGUCAUCGAAAACGAUAACUCAGCCAUCACAAAAUAUAACUCAGCCAUUACUAAAACAUAACUCAGUCAGUAACUAUCAUAACUCAGUCAAUAACUUUCAUAACACAGCCAAAACCUUACCUCACCAUGCGCUUUGAUAUCUUCAGCAAUGGUCAAUUCCAUUGUUUUACGUGUACGGUUUCCACCCCAACGAAGCAACGGUAUCUCAUCCUUGUUGACUACUCUCCCAUAUCGCUCUCCAAAGCAUUUGACUGAAUCAUACGCCAAAGCCUGUAACACGUAAACCAUACCACUGACGGUGUACGUCUUUCCAACAGGCCUCAACAACUUUAUAGAAUUAACCAGGGCUUCAAAUGCUGACCGACCCCAUGGAUAAGUGUUCAUGGAUUCCUCAUCAAAAACUCUUUUCGCACUCUCAAAUGGUAUUCUAGAGUUAUGAUGCAAGCCAUACAGUCCAAUGGCUUGAAGAGUCAACAGCCCCAACCACUUACGCUUUUCAGGAGUCCAUGUCCUACACACUAGUAAUCCUGUCCUCAGUUCAUCUAACUUUGGACCUUCACCACCAGGCACAUUCAAUUCACUGAAGAACGCUUUGUAGUCAGCUUUAGGUUCAAACUUUUCUGUAGGGAUUGAACCUGUGUUUAACCCCGUGAUAUGACCAAAUUCGUUCAAGCCAAACCUGAUAGGUUGACCACCAACUAGAAACCAAAUCUCCUUCUUGUGUAUUCUUAACUGUCUACACAGUAGAAAAUGUACAGUCUUACCAGACCACAUGAAUUGGCUUUCAGCUAGCUUAGCAAUUAUUCCAAUAGGUGACCCCUUCAGUUCAUUCCACGCUUUUUGUCCUAUUGAUUCUAUAAUCACAGGGACAUCUACCAUCUUGAUAUUGUGAUUUAACAAUUUAUUCUCCAGAAUAGACUCCCCUUCUGCGUAAAGUCUUGGAGGGUAAUCCCUUGGUUGUUCUUCAGAAAUAACCUUAGCCAUCUGAUAAACCAUAAAUCAGCCGUAAGCAUACAGUAACUCAGUCACAACAUAAAACAAACUCAGCCACAGUUGAGCAGAUAAACCAUAACUCAGUCGUAAGCAUAGAGUAACUCAGCCACAACGUAAAACAAACUCAGCCACACCAUAAAACAAACUCAGCCAUAGAUGCAUUGAUAAAUCAUAAAUCAGUCUAAAGCAAACAAUAACUCAGCCAUGGAAUCGAAUAGAUAUAACAAAUUAGCCACCAUAUGAAAAUCAACGUUGGCGAAAAUCAUCUGUAAUAAGCGUCGAUAAAAACCCUCAAUUUCUUCGCGAUAGUUUUCGGAAAACGGUUUCAAUCACGGAAAUCACUCGCUAUUGAACUUAGAUGCGGGAAAAAUGUCGGAAAAUCCAAAAUAAAGAUUCGACACAUACCUUAAACAAGUUGAGUUGAGACGAAAUGGUCCCGACUUGAGGUGAGGCGACGAAGUAAAAGGUCCUGACUUGAGUAGAGACGAAAUGCGACGGAGAGAACGAGAGAUUUAAGAGUUUCGGCCGGAAUUAGGGUUUCUUAGUCUUAGUCGGAAUCGCGUUUCCGUCGGAGAAAGAAAAAGUUUUUUACAGUUUUUUUUUUUCGGAGAUGAACAGUGACAGAGAGGGAAAUCGAAAGGGUUCUCUUAAUGACGUUAAUGACGUGGCUUUAAUUUGUUUUUCUUUUAAUGACGUGGAUUAACAUAAUUUUCGUUAAUCAUUUCUUAAUUAAAAAUGGAUUAAAAAAAUCUUUAUAAAAAAAAACUAAUCAAGGGUGUUAAUUGUAAUUACACAAAGACGCUAAACAUAUGAGUAAUUUUUAAAAAAUGUAUGAUAUUCUAGUAAUAUUCGAACUUUUGGUUAACAUCUGAGUAAAUAACACUUUAGAUAUUUGAUAAUAUAGCGUUUUUUGAUAUGCAAUAUAUAAAUAAACAAUAGCGAUAAUUAUUUGCUAUAAUAUUUUUAAUUAUUUGUAAAUAUAUAUAUAUAUAUAUAUAUAUAUAUAUAUAUAUAUAGAGAAUUUUGUAAUACGUAGAUGUUUUGUAUUUAUAUGGUAUUUGUGUAUUUAUAAAAUAUUGUAUUUAUACAGUAUUUAUACAAAUCAUUUACAUUAUUUCGUUUUUAUUAAUUUCUAAUUAUAUUUAAUUCAUAUUUUAUUAGGUCUUUUUGGAUAAAUUGACAUUAAAAAUAUCAUUUUUAUAUGAAUUCAUAAUACAAAAUAUUAUAUUACAAAGUAAAAAUACAAAAUUAAAAAAUAAAAAGUACAUAUAGUAACUGCAUUUAUCAAAUCCAAAACAAUUCAAAUCUAAAUCCCAUUAAGGUCUAGAAACAUUGAAUAUUAACAUCCUACUCUCAUCAAUUUCACCACGUAUAUCUCGAACUUGAUUAUGAGAGUUGUUCUUCCAUUCGCCUUCUUCAAAUCACCAUCCCUUCUUUAAAAAAAAUGUUGCUACUUUUACAGAAUCGUCUUCUCUAAUCUAACACCCGAGCACGAUCCAUCAAGUUGUGUCAACACAGUUCCUUCAAUCCAACCUCCCAUCACGCUGGUCGCCUUCUUCCUCCUCUCAAAAGGUAAUUCCAGUUACCCAAAUCGUAAAAGUUGAUUGUCUUUCUCUCUUUUUUGAUUUUUAUCUAUUCAGUUGCAGGUACUUCUAUCUCUGCUUGCAACAUGAAACUUGAUUUUACACCGAUUGCUCAACUAGAGUCUGUGACUGAGAAUGAAAUUUGGAAAAUUAAAGCAUGAGUUGACCGUUUUUGGCUAUUCCAAAAUAAUGAUAAGCCUGGAGAUUCUGAUGUACUUGAUUUAGUACUUGUGGAUGAUAAGGUGGAAAACAAAAUUCAAAUAUAUGUUUAUUUGAUUUAGAUAUUUUUGUACUUUUGUAAUCCAAUUUUUUCUCUUUUAAUGACAGGGAGACCGUAUACAAGCAUGCAUCAGAGGAAAAUUAAUUCAAAAGUUCGAAUAAGAUCUUCAAGAAGGAGAAUGUCGUAUACUGAUGAAUUUUAAGUUGUCUCCUAAUUUUGGGAGUUACAGGGCAACUGGACACUCUUUCAAAAUCUUUCUCACUUGGUCAACAAUUGUGAAGCCUUGUGAGGAAAUCCCAAACCAAUCACUUCGUUUCAGUUUCAUCCCUUUUGAUAAGCUUCAGAGACAUGACGAAAACCCUUGGUACGUGUUGGUGAAAUCGUUGGAAUGAAUGAUCUUAAGGAAAUUACUGUUCGCAAUGCUCCAUCUAAAUUGCUGAAUGUUCAACUCAAGAGCCUUGAGUUAGUAACUUCCAACUUGGUAGUCAUUAUUAUUAAUCUAUUAUGUCUCUCUUUUCAAAAUCGUGUUCUUAUAUAUGCAGUGAUUCAAUAAUUGAUUGUGUAUUUUGGGGAUUGUGGCAUAGUGAACAUUACCGAAAUCAGAUUUGGGGAUUGAAACGAACGUCUUUAGAUAUCACCGGCCAGACAUCGAGCUGCACCCAGAUUUACUUACAUCUUUCAUCUUUUCGUGAUGAUAUGUGUCGAACGAACGAAAUCGAAUUUUUUUUCUCAGAAAUCGAACUGCAACUAUAUCACUUUUUGUUUCCUGAGACUCUCAUCGAAAUCGAGCUACACUUAGAUCAAUUUUUUUUUCUGAGAACGCCGACGAAAUUUUGAUUUUGAGAUGAGAGAGACCAAAGGACCGAUGCUGGAAAGUAAAACUUACUUUUCUUUAUUUUUUUAAUGAAACGAAAAUAAUUCUAUGGUGACGACCAAAAAAAAAAUAAUUCUUUGGUCAUGCGUUCACAUUAUGUAACUCUUAUGAGUUAUGACACUCUCUAUUUAAUUUAAUAAAUUUUGACUUUUAUUAAAAUCACACGUUAAGGUGUAUCGUUUGUGCUAUAGUGUUUGUAAUGUUUUCUCCCUUCAUCUUUUUCUACGUUUAAUUAUCAUAAUUUCUAGAUUUUUAAUUAAUUGAAAUACAUUACAUAUUAUGAAGUCCGGGCCAAAAUAUUAGUAUAUAUAUAUAUAUAUAUAUAUAUAUAUUUGUAUUUUUUACAUUAUAUAUUCGUUGUUUUAAUUCUGUAAUUAGAUUUCAAAUGAGUCAAUUAGCUGUAUGCUAAUUAUUUGAGAAAUAAUUAGCUUGUACAUACACAACUUUUAUUUUUUGCAAAACAAGAGAUAGAAAUCUUUGGUUUUGAAAAAAUCGGACGAAUUUACCCCUGGAAUAAGACACAUGUGUAUUUCCCGAUAUAUCACUAUAUAUCAUGAUAUAUAAUCAAAAAGAGAAUGGUUAGAAAAACCAGAAACUGAUGUUGGAUCAUAAAAAACCAAUCAAUCUCUAUGACGACUCUGCAAAGAAUCCUCCAAAUCAAGAUCAACACCAACACGAUUCAAGACAUUAUCUUCCACUUAUUCUCAAGUUCCUUAAAUCUCUCAACAUCAAACUUAUGACUCUUAAGCAACCUCCUCUGUCUAGAAAGAAACAACCUUUUCAUGAAAUCUUGAUAUGUUGGGUCUCUUGAAGUCAUCAAGAAAUAAGCAUAACCCACAAUAAUCCCAGUAGCUGUAGUGAAAAACGUUAUUUGUUCUUAGCGUCGUCGGUUGACGGUGUCUCAAAUCAUCUCUAACAGAAGCUCAAUAAUAACGAACGACACCCAAACAUACGACGUCUCUAUAUCAAAUUUUUUUUUAAGGUUUAUUGAGUUCAUUUUAAUCAGAAAAAUGCGACGAGUUUAAUGAAUUCAAAAUAUCAUAAUUUUAGAUGCAAUCAGUUUCACAAUUAAGAAGAAUCAUUUGUUUGGGGUUAUCAUAAAGUAAAGAAAAAAGAAAAAGAAAAAAAUAAAUAUUAAAAGUAAAGAGAAACAAAGAAGGAAGGAAAGAAGAAUGAAGUGUUUGAUUUUAGGGGUAUUUUAGUCUUUUUAUCAUGUUUUCAGUUGAUCAUUUAUUUACAGGUUUGCCACUUUUCCUUUGACUUAAAUACUUUUCAGUCUUAGGGUAUGUAGUGUAAUUACUAAUUUCAAAUUCUACGCCCUAAAUCAAAAACACACUAAAUUUCCUUACUAUUUUGUGUUUUGUAGUAGUUUAAUUAUUUUCUAAUCUAUUUUACGUUCUUACUAAUUUUCAUCAGUUUUAUUUAUUCACUUUUAAAAUUACUCAUACAUAUUGUGAUAUGAUCAUUUACUAUACAUGCAUUUAGAUUUGUGGACACGAGUUCACAUAUAUAAACAUAGAUACACAUAAUUUCUCUCUAAUCUUCUUCCUUCUUAUUGUUUUUCUGGUCGAAUGUCUUUUGUAUCCAUCAGCUUUAUACCAUAUGCUUGCAAUAUAUUCAAAGUUGUACGUACCACCACAUAUCCCAAACACAACAAAUCAUCAUCAUCCUUUUCAUCUGCAAACACAUCACAGUUUUUUUUUAUGUGGAAUUCAAAGAUACAUGGCAAAUAGACCUCUGGUUCAAGAGGCCUUAAGACUCCUCUUGGCUUGAUCUUGUCUUCAAUUAACAGCUGCAACACCCAACAUCUGAAUCAUAAGCUUAAAAUUUGUAACUUAGAGAAGUAAAGACAGGAAAAAGUAAUAAGGACCAGAGCUCCAAUGGCUGCAUGGAUCCCGACAGUCUUGGCCAUAGCGGUCCUUGCUUGUCCGUUCUAGACGUCCCCGAAUUCCAAAAGAGUCGCACUGGGUUUCUCUGUACAUUUGCUUUUAGGGAGUUCCACCUCUAAUUUGUGAUGUAGAAGCACCAUGUCCUGAAAACAUAAGGUAAAAGAUUGUCCAAAUUUUAUGUCAGAAGUAACAUCAAGUGCAAGAGAGAGAAAACCAAUGGUAGCAACGAAAGACUAGAAACAUAGACCUGCUCAUUUUCGGAAUACAUUGACGAACCACAAAACUCGGUGUUCUCUUCUAUGCGAAUUCAAGCAUAACAUCAUCCUUAACCUAAAUUUCAUUGUGAUAUAAGAGCUCAAAAAUUUCCUUGGAGAUUGCAAGGAGAACCUCAAGAUUAUAAAUGAACUAAGAUAGGUGAUAUCUCUUAAAACUUAAAUUUGGAUACGAGGUUAAAAUUUAGAAAUACCUUUAAAGGACACUAGCUCUCAAACACAUGCCUUGUCCAUAUCAUAACAAUACAACCAAAGCUCCACCGAGUAUACACUUUGUGAUAAAGAGUUCAAAGGAUCAGACACUCAAAUUACAAUGACUGUCGACUCACAUCAACACACGAGCAAGAAAGUAAACAAAUAAGAAAAUAACAGCUUACAAUGUAGAAACAAGCGGCAGUAGCAAUAAAAUUGUAGAUUUGAAGACUUAUCUAAAAAAGAAAUCGACAAACCCUUAUAAUCGAAAUCCCAAAUUGAUUAUUAACCAAACUUAAAAUCAAACUUAAAAUCAAACUUAAAAUCGAAAUCCCACAUACCUGUUAGUUCUUCUAAGCACGAAAUUCAACUGCAAGAACAGUCAAACACAUAUCAAUUAGAAACCGAUAACACUGAAUAAACCAACUAUUUACCAAAACCAUAAAAUCGAAAUCCCAAAUUGAACUCGAAUACCUUUAUCUGAAGUCUCACCGACCUCUGACUGCUAAACAAAAAAAAACUCGAUGGAUUAAUACUAAAUUAGAACCUUAAAUCUGUUCAAAUAACCAAAAACCCAAACACAAUUUCACCUUCAAUGUCAAAUUUGACCAUACCACUUCGAUUUACCAAUGUAGAUGACGAUGAUUAAUAGGGAACGAAACUGCGAGAAGGAUAUCAAGACAGAUAUCGAAAACAAGACUGAGAUUGAGAGGGAACGAAAUGGAGACCGAUAGAGAUUGAGAUUGAAAGUAAGAUGAACGGGACUGUGAUUGAGAGAUCAAGAUAGAGAUGGAGGAAGGAGUCUGAGUGAGAGAUAGAAACAGAGAUCAGCUUGUGUGUUGCGUGAAAGAAGAAGUGAAAGAGAUGGGUAGGCCUAGGCAAAAAAACCGUACCCGAGUAUCCGAACCGAAACCGACCCGAAAAAACCGGUUCGGGGCGGGUACGGAUAUUAGCUAUUUACCCUAUUGGGUCUUGUAUUGUCGUAUCCGUGGGUAUAGGAUAAAACCCGAUCCGAACCCGAUACCCGAACGGGUACCCGAUUACCCAAAAUUACUUAUACUUUUUUUUUUUUUUUUUUGAUCAAAGGGAAAUUUCAUUCAAUUGGGACAUUAGGGUUCAUUACAAGCACCAAGAACCUCUUUGGCCAGGGCAUCUGCCUGACGAUUAAGGUUUCGUGGGGUGAAAUUAAAAGAGCAAAACGCAAAAAUUGACGAUAGAGACAGGAUGUCGUGGAGAAUCCCGUGGAGUUCCUUGUGUGGGAGCUCCGAAUUGAUUGCUUUGACAAGGUUCAACGAGUCUGAAGCAAAAUAAACAUUGGUGAAAGCUGAUUCAAUUGCAACUUUAACCGCAGCAAGAGUUGCAAGGGCUUCGGCUACCAGUGGAGAUCUGACAUGAGAUACAGCGAGAGAUCCAGCUAGAACAACAUGGUCUUGUUGGGUCUUCACGAUCCAGCCAAGGCCAGCCUUUCCAUCCUCCUUCCAAGCUGCGUCAGAGUAAAUUCUCAGAGUGAGAUCAUCGACUAAGGUCUGUGUGGGUACUCGUGGAGGGCUUGAUUUAAUGGGGAUCGAUCUUUGUGAUGCUUGCCAUUCCCUUGCACGGACAAUUCCGAUGGUCAUCGCUUCCGUGGCAGGGAUAACUUUCUUGCUAAAAAGUAAUUGGUUCCUUGUUGUCCAAAUUGACCAGAGAAUCCACGGCGAUAAAGGUCCUUCUCCAAUCCCCGAAGGUGGGAGGCAAAUCAGCUUAUUGACCAUUGAUAUACCUUCUCUUGUAGAAGAGAUGGAGCCUGUAUUUAGGCGGGAGCUGAAAGGGGCUAAACUCCAGAUUUGAUUAGCCAUAGGGCAAUGGAAGAAGAGGUGUAGGGUGGUUUCAGUUUCGCCACAGUGAGGUCCUUCUCCAAUCCCCGAAGGUGUAAUAUUUAUACUUAUACUUAUACAUAUAAAAACUUUAUAUAUAUAUGUAAUAUUUGAGCUAAAUACAUUUAUAUCCAAAUAUCUGAGAGUAAUUACCAAAAAUUAAAUGCACUUAUAUUUAUAUAUUUAAGACUAAAUAUAUUUAUACGCGAGAUGCUUGUAAAUUUUUUAAUUAUUUGGACAAAAUUCCGGUUAUUCGGAUAAAUUUUUGGGUGAAACUUGGAUAUUUGAGUAAAAUUGCGGAUAAAAUUCGGAUAUUAGAGUAAAAUUUCGGGUAAAAUUCGGGUAUUUGGUAAAAUUUUGGGUAUUUGGGUAUAAAAUACCCGAACCCGAUGGGUGCCCGAUUUUUUCGGGUAUUUAGCGGUUCUAAAAAUCUAAACCCGAACCGACCCGAACCCGAUUAGACCCGAACCGAAACCGAACCGAUAUUUUAGAUUUACCCUAUUGGGUCCUAAACUCCUCUACCCGAAAGACCCGUACCCGAUCGGGUUUUACCCGAACCCGACCCGCAUACCCGAAUGCCCACCCCUAGAUGGAGGUGUCGAAUGGGGGAGAAAGAGAUAUAGACGUGAAACCUAAUUUUUGACCAAAAAAUUUUUAUUUUAUUUUUAUUCUUUUACUAAGUAAAAUUUUAGAGCCAAAAUUUUCAGUUUUCCGGUUAUCCUUACGAUAACAUUUUCAUUGUUAUAUAUGCUAUCGUAGAACCAAAAACUAAGCACUAAUACAGAAUGUUUUCGUGCCUAUUCUACCAUAGCGUUUGUCUUUUCGAAAACGCUAUAAAAAUUUUCUUAAAACUCAACCAUAGCAAAAACAUUUAAAACGCUAUACAGUACUGCUAUUAAUACCUCCAUGAUUGGAAUAAUAUUUUUAUUUUUAUGAUAUAGCCGGACUCGUGUUUAGCGAGCUGCCUACGUACCCUAAAAUAGGAUCAAGCCAAAUCGUAGUUCGAUUGUGUUUGCUUUAGCAAUAGAACUUUUUCAAGUUGAUGAUGUUCCAAGGCCUCUGAACGGGGUUUCCGUAAAGGUCUUGUAAACGGUAAACACCAUUUCGGAUUUUUUCUGUGAUUUGAUAAGGACCUUCCCAGUUAAUACCGAGUUUUCCAGCUCCUUCUUCUUUUGUGUUAUCUAACACUCGUCUUAAAACAAAGUCUCCUACAUUUAAAGGUCUGUUUUUCAACUUUGAGUUAUAGUAUCGAGCGGUCAAUUGCUGAUAGUUUUGAAGUCGAAUAAGGGAUUGAUCUAGCCUUUCAUCGAUUGUAUCAAGAAUGUCUUCUAAUAAUUUAGAAUUUAGUUCUUCGUUAAGAGGAGCUUCGCUCCGGCGUAAACCAGGAACAUUCAGUUCGGCUGGGACUACAACUUCCAUUCCAUAUAUUAAUGAGAAUGGAGUUUCUCCCGUUGCUCAUCUCGGGGUUGUUCGAUAUGCCCAUAACACAGGUUGCAGCUCGUCAUACCAACCACCUUUCCGAGCAUUCAAACGCUUUUUAAGAUUGCUGAGAAUGGUUUUAUUGGAAGCUUCGGCUUGCCCAUUUCCUUGAGGAUACCUUGACGUUGAAUAGCUAAGUUUUAUUCCCCAAGCGGAACAAAAAUCUUCAAAUUCAUUUGAAAUGAAUUGAGGACCGUUGUCCGUUACUAUUUCGUAAGGAACUCCAUGGCGACAAAUAAUGUGUUUCCACAAGAAUGUUUUUACUAUAGAAUCUUGUAUAUUUACGUAGGCUUCUGCUUCGAUCCAUUUGGAAAAAUAGUCCAUUAGAACUAAAAAGUAUUGGACGCCUCGCGUUGAGCGAUGCAUCGGACCAACUAUAUCCAUUGACCACCUCAUGAAAGGGUAUGGAGCGGAUAUGGAUGAUAAAAUUUCAGAUGGCUGGUGAAUAAGAGGAGCGUGCAUCUGACACUUUUUACACCGUUUGGCGUACUCGAUGCAAUCAGAAAUCCUAGUUGGCCAGAAAUAUCCUAACCGUUUGAUUUUGAAAGCCUUUGCUCGUCCCGAAGAAUGACUACCACAAAGCCCUUCGUGGACCUCGCUUGUUACUAUUUCAACCUCGGGUCCCAAAAUACAUAAAAGAUAAGGAUCACUGACGCCUCGCUUGUACAACGAUUCUUUAAUUAUACAAUACUUAGCGCUGAUGAUUUUUAAUUUGCGAGCUUGCCAUUUGUUCGAUGGUAGUUCUCCACUAAGAAUGAAAUUUUUGAUGGGUACCCUCCAGUCAGCCCCCCAAUCUUUAGCGGAAGUAUUAUCCUUGAGUAUAAACUUCCUUGGUUCGGGUUCGGGAAGAAUAUCAGGAUCUUCGAUUGUUUCCCGAACUUCUUCAUCACCCGGAGGUGUCUGUUCCGUUCGAGACAGUUCUUUAGUGGGAACCUCUUGAUCCUUCAACUUUCUUCUUGGCUUUCUUUUAGGAAGUUCCAGCGAAGUAAGUUCAUCAUCCUGAGAUUUUACUCGUGAUCUGGUGACGACAAACAAACUAUUUUCAUUUCCGGAACUUAAUUUUGGAGUUUCGAUAUGCUCGGCCUCCAAAAUGUUAUCGUUUUCUGUUCUUCAACCGAAAUACUUCGCGAAGAAAUACAUUCAACAAAGAUAACUCGUUUGAGCUCAGGAUCCGAGGUAGAGGCUAGGGCAGCUAAAGCGUCUGCCGAAGUGUUUUCUCCUCGAGGUAUUCGAACUAAUUCGAACUCUUUGAAUUUUCCGGCUAAUUUUUUGACAGCCGAAAGAUAGGCUUCCAUUCGAGGAGCCUUAGCUUCGUAUUCUCCAGCGAACUGGUUUACAACUAGCUGAGAAUCACAAUAAGCUAUUAUUUUUUCUGCUCCAAUUGCAAGAGCAAGCCGAAGUCCUGCUAAGAGAGCUUCGUAUUCUGCUUCAUUGUUCGAAGCUGGAAACAUUAAUCGAAAUGAUUGUUCGAUUAUUUCUUUUGUCGGAGUUUCGAGCCUAAUACCGAUUUCGGACCCUUGUUUAGAAGAAGAGCCAUAUACAUGUAAUUUCCAUGUAGAGUUUGUUUCAAUAAGGAUUCCGUCAUCCGGUGGCAGUUCGGUCAGAAAAUCAGCCAGAACUUGUGCCUUUGCGCUAGUUCGAAUUUUGUAUUCUAUAUCGUACUCACUGAGUUCGAUUGCCCAUUUCGCCAAUCUACCGGACUGACUUGGUCCGUGGAGAAUUGAGCGAAGCGGAUGGGAAGUCAGAACUUCUAUCGGAUGAGAUUGGAAAUAAGGUCUUAGUUUUCUAGCAUAUAUGACUACUGCUAAAGCUAAUUUUUCCAUCAUGGUAUAUCUCGUUUCCGGAGGUAAGAGAUUUACUUAUGUAGAAAAUCGGCUUCUGAUCACCUCGAUCUUCUCGGACUAAAACUCCACUUACAGAAUGAUUAGAAACCGAGACAUAAAAAUAAAGUUUCUCAUCUGAUUCAUGUUUUGAGAGAACCGGUGGUGUUGUCAAAUAAGUUUUGAGUUGAUGGAAAGCUGCUUCGCAUUGAUCAUCCCACCGAAACUUUUUGUUCCCUUUUAAAAUCUGAUAAAAAGAGAGACAUUUAUCGGUGGAUUUCGAGAUGAAACGAUUCAACGCGGCAAUUCUGCCCGUCAAUCGCUGGACCUCUUUAAUGUUUUUUGGUGAAGGCAUUGUGAGGAAAGCGUUAAUCUGAUUAGGAUUUGCUUCUAUUCCUCUUUCCGUGACUAUGUAACCUAGGAAUUCUCUGGAAGGCACACCAAAAGAACAUUUAGCAGGAUUUGAUUUCAUUCCGAAUUCAUUCAGAAUUUUGAAACAUUGCUCAAGAUGUGUUAUGUGCUCGGAUUUCUUAAGAGAUUUUACGAGCAUAACAUCGAUAUAAACUUCCAUCGUUUUGCCCAAAUGUUUUGAAAACAUUUUGUUAACUAGACGUUGGUAUGUUGCCCCGGCAUUUUUUAGACCGAAUGGCAUAACUUUAUAACAGUAGAUUCCUCUAUCUGUUAUGAAAGAUGUUUUCUCUUCAUCUUCGGGAUUCAUCAUGAUCUGAUUAUACCCAGAAAAUGCAUCCAUGAAUGUCAAUAGUUCAUUUCCGGCUGUUGACUCUACGAGCCGAUCGAUAUGAGGGAGAGGAAAACUGUCUUUUGGACACGCUUUGUUAAUGUCAGUGAAAUCGACACAUACUCUCCACUUUCCAUUUUUCUUUUUGACUAUCACGGGGUUUGCUAACCAGUCCGGGUAUUUUACUUCUCUAAUCGAACCAAUAUUCAAAAGCUUAUCAACUUCGUCAUUGACCGCUUGAGCUCGGUCAUGACCCAGUUUUCUUCUUUUUUGCUUUAUUGGUUUAAAAUUGGGAUCGACAUUUAAGUCAUGGGUAAUGAUACUUUUGUCGAUGCCAGGCAUAUCCUUGGCCGACCAGGCAAAAGUAUGUUUAUUUUCUUUUAAAAAUGUUACCAAUUGAUCUUUGAUUUCUGAAUCCAAAGUAGUACCGAUUUUUACUUUUCGAUCUGGAAAUUCGGAAUCAAUUUCAAUUUCCGUGGUAACCUCAUUCGAACUGAGACCACUUGGGUAACGCGAGGUGCUUUCUUGCUUAGCAUUUAUCAUUAAUUGUUAUUUGAGCUUUAAACGAUGUCCCAUGAGGUAGCAAGAUCGCAACGUUUCCUUAUCUCCUCGAAUGGUUCCAAUUCCACUAGGAGUCGGAAAUUUCACACAUUGGUGAUAAGUUGAAGGUAUAGCCUUCAUUUGGUAUAUCCACGGAGUUCCGAGAAUUAUGUUAUAAGCGGCCGGACGGUCGAAAACAAUAAAUUCUACGAUUUUUGGAACCCUUGCUGCGAGCACUGGUAGUUUUAUGUUUCCUAAGGACAUAGAUGUGUCGCUCGUGAAAGCUAUUAACGGUGCCGGUGGACCGAUAAUGUCAGCUUUACUGAUUCCCAUUCUCUGCAAAGUGCUUAGAUCUACCGAGCUUCCAGUAUCAAUUAGACACCUUGUCACUUCGAAGUUCGCAACAUCUAAAGUUAUCACAAGAGCAUCAUCAUGAGGCCUAGCUAAUCCUUGAGUGUCCGAAUCGUCAAAGGAGAUAGAAGGUAUUUGUUCAUUUGAUUGAAAACCCACAUCGGUUUGAAUUGAAUUGCUGCUGAUUUCUUGUGCCUCUUGAUCGAUCUGAUCGAAUCUCGGCAUAAUUUGGACCCUCCCAUUAUAACAUCGAUCCUUUUCUUAGGAGUGUUCGGAGUUCCGGGCCCAUUGGGCUUAUGUUUCUUUUCAGGAGGAUUAGAAGCUUCGGAAUCUUCUUUUUCUUUGUGGUAUGAUUCCACAAAUUCCUCGACAUUGAAAUUAGCGAGCUCUCAAGCUGCCCACAGUUCGGUGAGGUGCUUUUUGAGUACGCUCCAAUCUUUGGUGGAGUGCCCGUUUACUUUGUGAAUAUCGCAAUAGGCACUUUCGUCUCUAACCCAAGUAUUAGGAGGAUUGUAUCUUCCUUUGCUUGGGGAGGGUUUUCCUACAGCAUUGGUAGAAGGAUUAACUCCGAACCGUUUUUGAUCUUUUGGUUCGAACUUUUCAGUUGGAUUCGCCACGGCUAAUUUAGCUGGUCGAUGCUGUUUAGCGAGGCUAAGCUUUUCUUCUUCUGCCUCCAUCCAAUUAGUAGCUCUGAAUAAAGCAUCUUGGAUGGUACUUGGACGGUUGACGAUAAUUUCUUCUCAAAAUCGGGAUUAAUGCCAGAGUCCGUUCUUUAAAGCAGAAAGGGCAGCAGCGUGUGAUACCCUAGGAAUUUUGGCUAUCACUUCUUUGAACUUAGCGAUAUAUUUGCGAAGUGGUUCAUUCUGACCUUGGGUUAAAUUACAAAGAUCUGCAUCAGAAGUUGCCUUUUCCAUGAACAUGGAAUAUUGUUUUAGGAAUGCAGAGGACAAUUCCUUAAAACUAUCGAUAGUUUCUGGUUCUAACUGGGUGAACCAUAACAGAGCCGAUCCGGAAAGAUUUUCAGAAAAUAGUUUGCAAAAUCCGGCAUCUUCCUCGCCUGGUUCUAGAUCAAUUCUGUCUGCAGCGAUCUGAAAAGCAGCGAGGUGAUUUUUAGGAUCUCCUUUACCGUCAUAAGUUGGUAACUUAACCUUCCGAGAAUCUUUGAUUCGAAGGUUCGAGAUUCUAGAGGUAAAGGGAGUUCGACGAGUUUCUUCGAUUACUCGAUCGAUCUCAGGCGCCGAACUGGUCGCCUGAUGAAAUUUCGAUUUCAUUUCAUUAAGCUCUUGGCGAACUUUGAUGAAAUCGUCUGAUAGGGUGACAUCAGGAUCUUCUAUAAAAAAAUCCGUCGUCAACAGGAAGAUUUCCCUGACCCUGGGGAAUUUCUUCCCCGGUUGGGUUAGUCGCAUCUCUUGCGGCUACCGGAUUGCUAGUACUAGCAGGCUGGCCUGUUUAAGGAGUUCGAGUAAUCCCAGGUGUCGCGAAUAACCUGCGCUGAUGCAUUGAUGUUCGCGUUGAGGACAAAUUAUCUAAACGGCUUGAAACAAUGUUCUGCGCGUUUGACAAAUUCGUUUGGGUGGUUUGAACACUUGUUAAGGUUUGCUCGAUUGAGUUCAACCUUUCACCAAAAGUGGUGUUGGCAGUAACAAGUGUACCCAUCUGAUUGGUUAGAUCGGUGGUUGUUUGAGUAAGCAAGGCAAUUGCAUCGCUCAAUGCUUGCUGAUCAGCCAAAAUUUCUUGGUUGGGAAAGAAAGAUUUUGAGAUUAAAGAGUUUUGCGGUAACUCCCCACAGGCGGCGCCAAAAUAUGGAUGUAGGAUUCACACUCGAUUAUCUUUAAGUAUUUUUGUGGAGAAAAACUCUUGUUAAAUCAGGAAAUAAAUAUGAGAAUUUGAAAAGGAAAACAACCAAGAAAAGGAGUAAAGAAAUUUGACGAAAGAUGAAGUGCAAAAUGCCUUGCGAAAAAUAGUAAAGAGAGAAAAAUGUAUUGUAUUGUUUAGAAGUAAUCAGUAAUGAGAUUCGUCCCCCUCAAACACAUGCGUUUGAGGUUGUUUUUAUAGAGAAAACAUGAUCAAUGCGGUCAUUUACUGCUCAUAAUCGCGUUGAUCCGCAUUAAUCAUGUAUGUUACAUUUUGACCGAAACGGCUUGAAUUUGAACUAUCUUGGGCUUCGCGUGGAUCUUCCGAACUCUCUCUUGUUGACUCUGAACUCCCGCGUCUUGACGCUACCGCGACCCUCGAACAAUAUUCUCCUCGCUUCGGCCUUUCUCUAUGCGAACUGUAUGUUGAAUAAGAGCGAACUCCGUACUGGUAAAGAUCGAACUCUUUUAGUAAACUGAAUCGAACUCCCGACUGGUUAAGCUCGAUUCUCAUAACAAAAUAUCUUUAAUUCCAAGAGGAUUAUUAUGUAAUAAUGACGUGGACAGAUCCAAGUGGAUCCUACCAAAAAUGUGUGGGAUCCGACCCCAACAAGAACUACUAGCAGUUGACCGCUCGAUACUAUAACUCAAAGUUGAAAAACAGACCUUUAGAUGUAGGAGACUUUAUUUUAAGGCGAGUGUUCGGUAACACAGAAGAAGAAGGAGCUGGAAAACUCGGUAUUAACUGGGAAGGCCCUUAUCAAAUCACAGAAAAAAUCCGAAAUGUUGUAUACCGUUUAAAAGACCUUGACGGAAAUCCUGUUCAAAGGUCUUGGAACAUCAUCAACUUGAAAAAGUUCUAUUGCUAAAAAUAAACAUAUUCGUACUACGAUUUGGUUUGAUCCUAUUUUGGGUACGUAGGCAGCUCGUUAAACAUGAGUCCAGCUAAAAAAAUAAAAAUAUUAUUUCAAUCAUGGAAUCUUGUUUUUAUAAGCUCGAUCAUCAAGCAUAAAUAUUAAAAUACGUUGCGAACAAUGUAUAAAGAAAUAUUUCACGCUAAGCAAAAACCAGAUCUAGAAGGGUCUCAGAUUACGGAAUAGCUCUGCUCCUUGGCCUGCGAGGUCGACAAUGCUCAGAAUGCAACCCGACAUGUUUCCGUACUCUUAGAGGCCUAUCUCAAUCCAAUCGGAAGGGUGGGCUUCGAGGCGAUGAAGUUUGCGAGCAAUAUCGAGGCGACGCUUCUCAAGUUCCAUUCUUCUUUUCCUAAUCUCAAUUUUCUCACCUUCGAGCUCGUUGUGCCGAGUGAUAAGCUGAAGAAAAUAAAACGCUUCAUUUAGCAAUAACAAAAGGAGUCAAAUCACUAGGUUGAACAAUACCUUGGUAAUAAACUCUUCAACCUUGACACGAUCUUGAGCUGAUAAUCUCUCGAUUAACACAAUCGGAACCUGAAUGCUGGUUCCCCACCCUAAUGUACGUGACUCUUCUGGUUCGCCAGUUGCUUCCGUUUUUACAAGCUCGAUGUUUGACGUUCCCGAAAGAUCAUCGCUUAUCAUUUUGAAUGAGUCGGAGGGAUUCUCUGAAGAAUUACCUUCCUCGAAUAUUUUUGUAGAAGUAUUGUUGAUAAAACUCAAUAAUGAACUACACCUACUUUAUACUCGAAAUAUACUCAAUCACAUUUAAGAGGGUCAAUUGACGAUUUCCCAAAAUCUGAAAUUACUACCUUCAUAGAAAAUGUAAUCGAGUUAAUUGCUAAUUAUAUUCCCUAAAUUAACGCAUUAAAUAAGAUUGAAAUAAAUCGACAAAUUUAAAGCAAAAGCGGAAAUAUAAUUAAUGUCACUGGGCCGCUAGCCCAAUAGAAUGUUAUAAACAAAAAUAAAUCAAAGGAAUUGUUCGAUCAAAAGUCCUCGCCCGAUAACGAUUCCAGCGAGGUGGAUGAUCCCGAACAGCUUUCUGAGGAUAAUCCCUCGUCAGAAGAUAAAUCGAGGAGACCAGAGGAAUGAUCGAUAGAUUUUGCCUCCGAUUCUUCAUUUUCUUCAGUUUUUAACAUCGGAAAUCUCCGAAACUCUAAAAAACAUCAAACAAAAGAGGAUCUGUCGCCGGUUGCAAAGGAUAGAUGAGAUAAUUUGUCCAGCACGCGGAGGAAUCAUCGAAGACAAGAAGGAAUGAUAGCCACGAUAUCUAAACCCUUCCUCUCCCAUCCAUGCGGUUCAGAUUCAAGGCGAUGGAUCUAACUUUCCAUCCUCCUUAUACGCUCAUCGAGAGCACGGCGCCUCCUUCCGAUUCUUUGUCUCUUGUCACAUAAAGCUUUAUGCCUCCCGAUGAUCUGUUUGAACAAACAUUUUGUCAACCAUCUGAAAAAGAAUAUAAAGUGUUUUGAAAAGACUAAAAAUUAGAAAGAAAGCCUUUUCCAAGAAGUCAUAACAUUUGACCCUUUCUUGCCCUAUCCGGAAAUGGAAAAAUGUAGGGUGAAUAACUCCCUUUGGAGAAAAUCCAUCUUCGGAUUCAAACAAUAGACCCCCAUUCGAGGAUGUUAUUCUUAAACUGGAUCUGAAAGAGGAUAGCGGCAUAGUCCAGUUUCUCUUACAAUAAACUAUGACAGUCCUUCCGAAUUCUUUUAAAGGAUAAAAUUAUUCGGACUCUUCAAAAAAUGUAACAGAUUUCAAGUCUAAUUAAAACGUGGCCCAACACGCUUAAAGCCAUUUUUAGGCUAUGAUCAAAACCAUCGCCUAGUCAUCUUUAUGGCAAAAAUUCUCAUGAAUUAUAAAAGUCUUAUCCCUCGAUAAGAAGCUUAAGCCGAGCUCCAUCUUCGCUUCCGAGAGACCGAAGAAAAAUACUUUUUAAGGUUUUUUCUUUAAAAAAGGCAAGUGAGCAUGAUAAGCUCAUCUCUCACAAUUCAUAAAACCUCUUUGGUGGGUUAGGACUUGCAAACCUCGAAUCGCAUCCAAACGUUUUACUUAAAUAAAAAAAAUCAUAUGCAAGUGCAUGUACUCGAUUUUGUUCCAACACACUAAGUAAACAAAACAUUUCCGUCAAACGGAGUUGUUCUCAUGAACUCAAUAAAACAAUUCUUUAAGAGCGUUCAUCUACCUCAGGAGAACCCUCAUUUUGUCGAGAACCUUCACCUAUCUCGAAUUGAGAGGAGGAUUCUCCAAAUACCAAAGAAAAUUGUUUCAGAUCAAGAGUGGGUCGGGAAGCCGAGGAUAACUCGGAUUCAACUACGGCGAGUUCGGCAGUAACUUCCCUCCUCUCGUUCUCGAACGAAACUCUUCCAUUCUCUAGAUCUCCAAUCAGGUCUAAGUUACUCUUCAGCUUGGCUGAUCGGUUUGAAGUUUAGUCCAGACCUCUUCAUCUUUGAUAAACUUCACGAUAGACUGAAUAAGCUGCCUACCAAAGCUCCUUAUCUCUUAUCGAGCGUUAUGCUCGGCUUCGGCGAUCUCGCGAGCUCUGGUCUUAACUAAAAAGUCGGCCUUGUGGCUCGCUUCUUCGGACAAAGCCGUGGCCUCUUCUAACUCAGCCUUCAAGCGAAGAGCGCCGGACCUCGCAGAAUCCCUUUCAGCAUUCGCAAUUCUGAGGCGUUGCUCGUUAGCCGCCAAAGUCUUCUUCAUAUCUUCAAAAGACGAUUCGAAUGUUUUCGCCUGUUCAAGUCGGUCAGGCUGAUUGAUAGAUUUAAUUUUGUCAAUCUCCUUCUUAGCCUUUGCGGUUUCCUUCGCUGCUUGGUGAAGAAUAUUCUCAUAAUGGAAGAUCAUUCCAUUAGUCUCCAUUAACGCCUUCAAAGUAAAAUGUCAUUCAUAUAAAAAUUUACUUAACAAGGAAGUUCUAUUCUAGUAAAAACCUAAAGUUUUGAACCUGAGACAGGUAGCAAGCUCGAUUGAUGUACAUCUGACGGAUGUUCGGCCUCUGUGGAUGUAGGAUUCACACUCGAUUAUCUUUAAGUAUUUUUGUGGAGAAAAACUCUUGUUAAAUUAGGAAGUAAAUACGAUAAUUUGAAAAUGGAAAACAACCAAGAAAAGGAGUAAAGAAAUUUGUAGAAAGAUGAAGUACAAAAUGCCUUGCGAAAAAUAGUAAAGAGAAAAAAGUAUUGUAUUGCUUAGAAGUAAUGAAUAAUCAGAUUCCCUUUCCAAACACAUGCGUUUGAGGUUGUUUUUAUAGAGAAAACAUGAUCAAUGCGGUCAUUUACUACUCAUAAUUGCAUUGAUCCGCAUUAAUCAUGUAAGUUACAUUUUGACCGAAACGGCUUGAAUUUGAACUACCUUUGGGCUUCGCGUGGAUCUUCCGAACUCUUUCUUGUUGACUCCGAACUCCUGCGUCUUGACGCUGCCGCGAGCCUCGAACAACAUUCUCCUCGCUUUGGCCUUUCUCUAUGCGAACUGUAUGUUGAAAUAAGAGCGAACUCCGUAUUGGUAAAGAUCAAACUCUUUUUAUAAACUGAAUCGAACUCCCGACUGGUUAAGCUCGAUUCUCAUAAUAAAAUAUCUUUAAUUCCAAGAGGAUUAUUAUGUAAUAAUGACGUGGACAGAUCCAAGUGGAUCCUACCAAAAAUGUGUGGGAUCCGACCCCAACAUUUAGCCCCCCAAGUCUUGCGAGCUGAGUGCUCGGCUUGGAAGACUUAAGUAAAUAGUAAUUAAUGACUCGAGAUCUUUAACAUUCCGGAAUUAAAUAGUAAUUAAUGACGCUAUUACGCCGAUCUCGGAUAAUCAAACGAUUUGAUAUCCCUGACAACCGUCAUCAUUAAUUUUCUAAUUUUAUAUUAAUACUGCGGGAAAAACUGUCCCACUUCCCAAUACUCUCGAGGCGGUCUUUCAUCAUACUUUAGGGUUCUAAGAGGUAAAAUUACUUUUCCAUCUUAUCUUCUUUACCUAGAGAACCUUCACUCUUAUUACAGAAGUCAUUGUUUUCUUUUUGGUAAAAAAUCCCUUUCGUAAAAUGCCGAACCCUUCUUCCGAAUUUCGCGAAUACGAGGCUGACGAUCUCGAAGCUCUCAUGGGUGAAGGAUCCGGACCUCAAAUUCAAAUCGGAGAUGGGUUUGAUCUUCACCCUAGAGUGAAUCAACUAUCGAUUCUCUCAACGAUCUUCGUAGAUUAUGUCUCACCCCCCCUGAGGUAGAGAUGGUAGUUCCGGAGCCCUUCGAGUCUCCGGAGUCGGGGCGAGAAGGUUACUGCUGUGCCUAUGAAAUUUAUUUCAAAGGGUGCGGCUUAUUCUUUCCCCUUCCUGAGGUGCUUCUCGUCUACCUCAACUAUCUUGGAAUUGCUUUCUCCCAGAUGUCGCCCAACAUGCUCCGGUAUCUUUUGUGUACCCUCACUGUUGCAGUGGAGGCGGGCUACUCAUUGGGACUUUGCAAACUCCUGAAACUUUUCCAAGCUCGCGAUUCCCAAACUUCUGGGUAUUAUGCCCUUUAUCCGAACGCGGAUCGGAAUCUUAUUGACGGCCUGCCUUUAAAAGACAACGCCUGGAGGAAGUUUUGGUUCUUCUUCCGCAUAAAUAAUAUUUCUAUUCAGAGUUCUUCCGAACUCCUUCGAACUCACUGGUCAUCGAAUUUGGGUAGAAAUUAGGACUUAACUGAAUAAAUUCCCUUUGUUAUUUCAAACUGCGUUUCAACAUUUCCUUGUUUUCUCGCAGGUCCUCAGAUUCGACCAGUUCCAUCCGUCGACUUCCUCAACUUCUACAAGGCCGUCUUGGAGAGGCCAGUUAAUUGGAAUUCUUUUACUCUGGAAAGAAUUCACGGUGCCGGGUUUUCUGUCAGAAUGACCCUUACUCACCCCGGGGACGACAAAGUCUACCGGAAAACUCUCCUUGUUGACGAUGGAUCUCUUGAAGGUUCAAAGUCAAUGGCGGUUGCUGUGAACAAUGCUCCCUCCCCCAUCCCAGCAGCAGACAACGUGGUCGCUGCCACCGUUGAGGAAGAAGGCCUUACAGGUGAUUCUUCUCUCAUGAAAAAGAGGAAGGCCGAGGAACUUGAACCCCUGUUCCAGGGGCGUCCCAAAAACACAAGGAAGCUCAGGAUGAUUAUUCGAAUCUGCCUAUUCCUGAAUCUGCUGAAACUCAGGAUGUAAAUCCUGAUUCAGGAAUCGUUUUUAAGGAGCCGUUGGGUUCGGGGAUGUUACCUCCUAGACGUCCCCGAGGUAAUACUUCUAGGGUUCGAUCGUCUCCGAGCUCGACACUUGUUGCCAGAGCUUCAUCCCAAUCAGGUAACCUUUAAUUAUUAUACUAUUACUUGAGAUCAAUCGACUUCUCAAGAAGCUCAAUCCUCAAAUCACUAUCUUUAUUCUAGACAAAGAGAAUAUUGGGAACAUGUUUAGGUGCUUCCACACCCGCUUUGGGAAGAAACUCCCGUCCUUUGAGUGGUGGAAGUCUGAUAUCAAGAAGAUGUAUGUCAGCCAUUCAUUCCACUCCUCCCAAGUUUGACUAUUUGCACCUUUCAACAACCGAUUCGAAAGUUUUUUUUUUUUGAAACGUAUCUUCUUUCAUUAGGCAACUUUGGACGUAAAUGGCAUCAUCAACUAUUACGAAGAGGAGCUUUCCAAAGUUUCAAAGAAAGCUGCUGUUGCUGAAGGAGAGAUCGAGAAACUGCAAUCUUCCAGUCGGCUUGUGCAGGAGACUGCUGGCCUUGAUUCGGCUCGCCAGGAGAAAAUCGAACAACUCGAGAGAUCUGGCGAGGAGACAAGGAAGAUUUUAAUCGAAACUGAGUAGAGGCUAGAGGCUGCCCUUGCUGACCAUAACCUCGCAAAGGGCGAGAUUGAGCUUCUGAGAUCAGAGCUUGACAGGGUCAAAACAACUGCCGAGGAGCUCGAGCGCAAAAAUGAGUCUCUUUCCGAACUCAAAGAUCGAGAUGUUCGCAAAAUAUCUCACGAUGCUCGGAAAGAGGUUAAAGGAGCUGGCCAAAAGUUUCUUCUUGCUGUGCAGGAAUUUAUUACUGCAGAUAAAGCUUGGAACAAACUUAACUCCGAGCGUGAUGAGAUGAAGAGCAAUCUCGAUCUGAUCAAGGAGAUAGAGGACGGGAAGGUCAACUUGGCUGAGGAAAAGGAAACAGUUGGCGCUGAGCUCGCUGAGACUGAAGCUAAGCUAAAUACUGCUCCUCAGCCAUAUUUGAAUUUGCAGCAGUUUGCUUCUGAGUUCGCUGAUUCCCCUCCAUUGACUGAGCCAAAUAUUGGUUUGUCUCUGGACAAGAUGAUGUUAACAGGUUCUCCUCGCGCUCAUUUUAAUGAGUUCGGAACCAAUGUCGACAGAAUCUCCUCGGGACGAGCUCAAGGGUUCUCUGGUCGUGAUCCUGCCAUCUCCUCGAUUAUGGGAGACGACCUUGAAUCGAAGAGCGAAACUCCUCAAGAUGCUAGCUCGCUUAAUCCUGAGGUGGUUUCCACAACUCAGAACGCUGACGUCGGGAGUGCUCUUGUCUCAAAUCAAGCAGGAGAUGAAGGCGGUUCGCCUAUGAUUGAAUGAUGGUGAUUGCAUUCACCUUUUAUGGGGAUUGUCCCUUUUAAUUUUAAGACAUGAAAUUCGCUUUGUUGGCCAUGGGGCUGUUUAUUUCUCCUUCGAGUUUUCUGCCCAAGGGGGCUUUUGUUAUUGUUUUGAAUAAUUUGCCCAAGAGGGUUCUUAAUUAAAAUUUCUUUAGAAAGAAAUAUUUAAUCUUGGUGGAAACCAUCGAUUUUACCUGGAGGGUUUGCAAAGUCCUCCUAAUCGAAGUGGUUUAGGAUUAUAGGAGAGAUAGGCUGAUCAGACCUACUUGCUUUUUUUAAAGAAAAAACAUUGGAAUUUUUCCUCGGUCUCUCGAUUGCGAGGUUAGAGCUCGGCUUACAAGAACACUUUGCAAUACUUCAAAUGUGUUCGAUUAGGGAAAUCUCUAGUGAGAACUGUUUGCUUUUCCUAAGAGAAAAAAAAGGUGUGAUACCAUUUAUUGAUAGUCUUCUAAUUUUGAGUUCGAAAUUAAGUUCGCCUACUAGGUGUUAAGUGAUACUUGAAUAACCUAUAUUUCGUAGGUCUUGUUUGUGCAUGUACACGAAAAUCGAGAGGUCAUAACAGUCAGAUCAAUAGAUUGACGUUUAACUUUCUUUUUCAAUAAAUACUCGAGUGAGUGCCCUUACAUAUUUUUUCUAUAUAAGGAGAGUUGGAUUUUGGAAAUUUUCCAAUAGAUACUCUUUUAUAAGGAACUUUGCAGUUCUUCUUUUUUGGAUCUACGAUGACAUCUCCCCAAGGCGAACCUUGUGGUCCUAAUUCGCCACGACUCCCUUCAAGCGAAUCUCUUUUCCCGACGGGGGAUGGAUUCACUCCACAAGGGGUGGCUAUUCCUUGUUUUCUUUCUUCCCUGUCUAGGGAAGAACAGAUCGAGUGCCAUGAAUUCAUGGAGCAGGUUUGAACCAAAUACCAAUGGUUUCAAAGUCUUACUUGAUAGAUUCGUAAUGUAUCUGUUCUUUUGCAGAUCACGGAAAGAUACGUUUUCUUCUGCUCCGAAAGGCAACGCCUCGGAAUGAAACGCCGUAACCUCGAGGACCGGAUUGCUAGAACAGAAAGGAAGAUCCGACAUUUGGAGUCGGACGUUCACAACUGGGAGAGGAGGGGAUUUGAUUCUAUCGCCCGCAUUCCCGGCUGUCUUCGAGAACACAUCAGGUUCCUGAAGAAGCAUUGGGAUAUCUACCAAAGGAGCCUCGAACCCGACGAACGUGAAGACGGUUCGUCAGGAGACGAAGUUCCUUCUGCGAACCCCCCUCCUUCUUAGUUUUUUUUUAUAUUAUUAUGUAACAUACUAUUGGGCUAGAGGCCCUGUAACAUUAAUUAUAUUUCCCUUUUCGCCUUAAAUUUGCCGAUUUACUCAAAUCUUAUUUAAUGCGUUUAUCUAGGGAAUAUAAUUAGUAAUUAACUCGAUUACAUUUUCCACGAAAGUAGUAAUUUCAGAUUUGGGAAAUCGUCAAUUAACCCUCUUAAAUGUGAUUGAGUAUUUUUCGAAUAUAAAGCAGAUUUAGAUCGUUAUUGAAUUUAAUCAACAAUAAUUCUACAAAAAUGUUUGAGGAAGGUAAUUUCUCAGAGAAUCCCUCCGACUCGAUUAAAAAGAUAAGUGAUGAUCUUCCGGAAACGCCAGACAUCGAUCUUGUAAAAACGGAAGCCAACGGCGAACCAGAAGAGUCACGCCCAUUGGGGUGGGGAACCAGCAUUCAGGUUCCAAAUGUGUUAAUUGAGAGAUUAUCAGCUCAAGAUCGUGUCAAGGCCAAGGAGUUUAUUACCAAGGUAUUAUUAAGCCUAGUAACCUAACUCCUUUCGUUGUUUGCUAAACGAAGCGUUUCAUUUUCUUCAGCUUGUCAUACGGCACGACGAGCUCGGAAAUGAGAGAAAAGAGAUUAGGAAAAGGAUAAUGGAACUAGAGAAGCGUCACCUUGAUAUUGCUCGCGAGCUUCAUCGCCUCGAAGCCCAUCCUUCCGAUUGGAUCGAACUAGGACUUCAGGAGUACGGAAACAUGCCAGGUUGUAUUAUGAGCAUCGUUGACCUCGCAGGUCAAGGAGCAAAGUUAUUCCGUAACUCAAGACCCUUCUAGAUCUGGUUCUAGCUUAUCUAGAAAUAUUUAUUUAUACAUCGUUCGCAAUGUAUUUCUAUAUUCAUGCUCGAAUAUUGAAUUUAUAAAAACAAGACUCCAUGAUUGGAAUAAUAUUUUUAUUUUUAUGUUAUAGUUGGACUCGUGUUUAGCGAGCUGCCUACGUACCCAAAAUAGGAUCAAGCCAAAUCGUAGUUCGAUUGUGUUUGCUUUAGCAAUAGAACUUUUUCAAGUUGAUGAUGUUCCAAGGCCUUUGAACAGGGUUUCCGUCAAGGUCUUGUAAACGGUAAACACCAUUUCGGAUUUUUUCUGUGAUUUGAUAAGGACCUUCCCAGUUAAUACCGAGUUUUCCAGCUCCUUCUUCUUUUGUGUUAUCGAACACUCAUCUUAAAACAAAGUCUCCUACAUUUAAAGGUCUGUUUUUCAACUUUGAGUUAUAGUACCAAGCGGUCAAUUGCUGAUAGUUUUGAAGUCGAAUAAGGGAUUGAUCCCGUCUUUCAUCGAUUGUAUCAAGAAUGUCUUCUAAUAAUUAAGAAUUUAGUUCUUCGUUAAGAGGAGCUUCGCUCCGGCGUAAACCAGGAACAUUCAAUUCGGUUGGGACUACAGCUUCCAUCCCAUAUACUAAUGAGAAUGGAGUUUCUCCUGUUGCUCGUCUCGGGGUUGUUCGAUAUGCCCACAACACAGGUUGCAGCUCGUCAUACCAACCACAUUUCCGAGCAUUCAAACGCUUUUUAAGAUUGCUGAGAAUGGUUUUAUUGGAAGCUUUCGCUAGCUCAUUUCCUUGAGGAUACCUUGGCAUUAAUAGCUAAGUUUUAUUUCCCAAGCGGAACAAAAAUCUUCAAAUUCAUUUGAAAUGAAUUGAGGACCGUUGUCCGUUACUAUUUGUAAGAAACUCCACGACGACAAAUGAUAUGUUUCCACAAGAAUGUUUUUAACACAGAAUCUUGUAUAUUUACGUAGGCUUCUGCUUCGAUCCAUUUGGAAAAUAGUCUGUUAGAACUAAUAAGUAUUGGACGCCUCGCGUUGAGCGAUGCAUCGGACCAACUAUAUCCAUUGACCACCUCAUGAAAGGGUAUGGAGCGGAUAUUGAUAAAAUUUCAGAUGGCUGGUGAAUAAGAAGAGCGUGCAUCUGACACUUUUUACACCGUUUGGCGUACUCGAUGCAAUCAGAAAUCAUAGUUGGCCAGAAAUAUCCUAACUGUUUGAUUUUGAAAGCCAUUGCUCGUCCCGAAGAAUGACUACCCCAAAGCCCUUCGUGGACCUCGCUUGUUACUAUUUCAACCUCGGGUCCGAAAAUACAUAAAAGAUAAGGAUCACUGACGCCUCGCUUGUACAACAACUCUUUAAUUAUACAAUACUUAGCGCUGAUGAUUUUUAAUUUGCGAGCUUGCCAUUAGUUUGAUGGUAGUUCUCCACUAAGAAUGAAAUUUUUGAUGGGUACCCUCCAGUCAGCCCCCCAAUCAUUAGCGGAAGUAUUAUCCUUGAGUAUAAACUUCCUUGGUUCGGGUUCGGAAGGAAUAUCAGGAUCUUCGAUUGUUUCCCGAACUUCUUCAUCAUCCGGAGGUGUCUGUUCAGUUCGAGACAGUUCUUUAGUGGGACAUCUUGAUCCUUCAACUUUCUUCUUGGCUUUCUUUUAGGAAGUUCCAGUGGUGAAGUAAGUUCAUCAUCCUGAGAUUUAACUCGUGAUCUGGUAACGACAAACGAACUAUUUUCAUUUCUGGAACUUAAUUUUGGAGUUUCGAUAUGUUCGGCCUCCAAAAUGUUAUCGUUUUCUGUUUCUUCAACCGAAAUACUUCGCGAAGAAAUACAUUCAACAGGAUAACUCGUUUGAGCUCAUGAUCCGAGGUGGAGGCUAGGGCAGCUAAAGCGUCCGCCGAAGUGUUUUCUCCUCGAAGUAUUCGAACUAAUUCGAACUCUUUGAAUUUUCCGCCUAAUUUUUUGACAGCUUAAAGAUAGGCUUCCAUUCGAGGAGUCUUAGCUUUGUAUUCUCCUGCAAACUGGUUUACAACUAGCUGAGAAUCACAAUAAGCUAUUAUUUUUUCUGCUCCAAUUGCAAGAGCAACCGAAGUCCUGCUAAGAGAGCUUUGUAUUCUGCUUCAUUGUUCGAAGCUGGAAACAUUAAUCGAAAUGAUUAUUCGAUUAUUUCCUUUGUCGGAGUUUUGAGCCUAAUACCGAUUCCGGACCCUUGUUUAGAAGAAGAGCCAUCUACAUGUAAUUUCCAUGUAGAGUUUGUUUCAAUAAGGAUUCCGUCAUCCGGUGGCAGUUUGGUCAGAAAAUCAGCCAGAACUUGUGCCUUUGCGCUAGUUCGACUUUUGUAUUCUAUAUUGUACUCACUGAGUUUGAUAGCCCAUUUCGCCAAUCUACUGGACUGACUUGGUCCAUGAAGAAUUGAGCGAAGCGGAUGGGAAGUCAGAACUUCUAUCGGAUGAGAUUGGAAAUAAGGUCUUAGUGUUCUAGCAGAUAUGACUACUGCUAAAGCUAAUAUUUCCAUCAUGGUAUAUCUUGUUUCCGGACUGGUAAGAGAUUUACUUAUGUAGAAAAUCGGCUUCUGAUCACCUCGAUCUUCUCGGACUAAAACCCCACUUACAGAAUGAUUAGAAACCGAGACAUAAAGAUAAAGUUUCUCAUCUGAUUCAGGUUUUGAGAGAACCGGUGGUGUUGUCAAAUAAGUUUUGAGUUGAUGGAAAGCUGCUUCGCAUUGAUCAUCCCACCGAAACUUUUUGUUCCCUUUUAAAAUCUGAUAAAAAGGGAGACAUUUAUCGGUGGAUUUCGAGAUGAAACGAUUCAACGCGGCAAUUCUGCCCGUCAAUCGCUGGACCUCUUUAAUGUUUUUUGGUGAAGGCAUCGUGAGGAAAGCGUUAAUCUGAUUAGGAUUUGCUUCUAUUCCUCUUUCCGUGACUAUGUAGCCUAGGAAUUCUCCGGAAGGCACACCAAAAGAACAUUUAGUAGGAUUUAAUUUCAUCCCGAAUUCAUUCAGAAUUUUGAAACAUUGCUCAAGAUGUGUGAUGUGCUCGGAUUUCUUAAGAGAUUUUACGAGCAUAUCAUCGAUAUAAACUUCCAUCGUUUUGCCCAAAUGUUUUGAAAACAUUUUGUUAACUAGACGUUGGUAUGUUGCCCCGGCAUUUUUUAGACCGAAUGGCAUAACUUUAUAACAGUAGAUUCCUCUAUUUGUUAUGAAAGAUGUUUUCUCUUCAUCUUCGGGAUUCAUCAUGAUCUGAUUAUACCCAGAAAAUGCAUCCAUGAAUGUCAAGAGUUCGUUUCCGGCUGUUGAUUGUACGAGCCGAUCGAUAUGAGGGAGAGGAAAACUGUCUUUUGGACACGCUUUGUUAAUGUCAGUGAAAUCGACACAUAAUCUCCACUUUCCAUUUUUCUUUUUGACUACCGCGGUGUUUGCUAACCAGUCCGGGUAUUUUACUUCUCUAGUCGAACCAAUUUUCAAAAGCUUAUCAACUUCGUCAUUGACCGCUUGUGCUCGGUCAGGACCCAGUUUUCUUCUUUUUUGCUUUAUUGGUUUAAAACUGGGAUCGACGUUUAAAUCAUGGGUAAUGAUAUUUUUGUCGAUUCCAGGCAUAUCUUUCGCCGACCAGGCAAAAGUAUGUCUAUUUUCUCUUAGGAAGGUUACCAAUUGAUCUUUGAUUUCUGAAUCUAAAGUAGUACCGAUUUUUACUUUUCGAUCUAGAAAUUCGGGAUCAAUUUCAAUUUAUGUGGUAACUUCACUCGAACUGAGACCACUUGGGUAACGCGAGGUGCUUUCUUGCUUAGCAUUUAUCAUUAAUUGCUAUUUGAGCUUUAAACGAUGUCCCAUGAGGUAGCAAGAUCGCGACGUUUCCUGAUCUCCUCGAAUGGUUCCAAUUCCACCAGGAGUCAGAAAUUUCACACAUUGGUGAUAGGUUGAAGGUAUAGCCUUCAUUUGGUAUAUCCACGGAGUUCCGAGAAUUAUAUUUUAAGCGGCCGGACGGUCGAAAACAAUAAAUUCAACGAUUUUUGGAAACCCUGCUGCGAGCACUGGUAGUUUUAUGUUUCCUAAGGACAUAGAUGUGUCGCACGUGAAAGCUACUAACGGUGCCGGUGGACCGAUAAUGUCAGCUUUACUGAUUCCCAUUCUCUGCAAAGUGCUUAGAAAUAUGAGAUCUACCGAGCUUCCAGUAUCAAUUAGACACCUUGUCACUUCGAAGUUCGCAACAUCUAAAGUUAUCACAAGAGCAUCAUCAUGAGGCCCAGCUAAUCCUUGAGUGUCUGAAUCGUCAAAGGAGAUAGAAGGUAUUUUUUCAUUUGAUUGAAAACCCACAGCGGUUUGAAUUGCUGCUGAUUUCUUGUGCCUCUUGAUCGAUCUGAUCGAAUCUCGGCAUAAUUUGGACCCUCCCAUUAUAACAUCGAUCCUUUUUUAGGAGUGUUCGGAGUUACGGGCCCAUUGGGCUUAUGUUUCUUUUCAGGAGGAUUAGAAGCUUCGGAAUCUUCUUUUUCUUUGUGGUAUGAUUCCACAAAUUCCUCGAUAUUGAAAUUAGCGAGCUCUCCAGCUGUCCACAGUUCGGUGAUGUGCUUUUUGAGUACGCUGCAAUCUUUAGUGGAGUGCCCGUUUACUUUGUGAAUAUUGCAAUAGGCACUUUCAUCUCUAACCCAAGUAUUAGGAAGAUUGUAUCUUCCUCUGCUUGGGGAGGGUUUUCCUACAGCAUUGGUAGAAGGAUUAACUCCGAACCGUUUUUGAUCUUUUGGUUCAAACUUUUUAGUUGGAUUCGCAACGACUAAUUUAGCUACUCGAUGCUUUUUAGCGAGGCUAAGCUUUUCUUCUUCUACCUCCAUCUAAUUAGUAGCUCUGAAUAAAGCAUCUUGGAUGGUACUUGGAUGGUUGACGAUAAUUUCUUCUCGAAAUCGGGAUUCAUGCCAGAGUCGGUUCCUUAAAGCAGAAAGGGCAGCAGCAUGUGAUACCCCAGGAAUUUUGGCUAUCACUUCUUUGAACUUAGCGAUAUAUUUGCAAAGUGGUUCAUUCUGACCUUGGGUUAAAUUCCAAAGAUCCGCAUCAGAAGUUGCCUUUUCCAUGAACAUGGAAUAUUGUUUUAGGAAUACAGAGGAUAAUUCCUUAAAACUAUCAAUAGUUUCUGGUUCUAACUGGGUGAACCAUAACAGAGCCGGUCCGGAAAGAUUUUCGGAAAAUAGUUUGCAAAAUCCGGCAUCUUCCUUGCCUGGUUCUAGAUCAAUUCUGCCUGCGGCGAUCUAAAAAGCAGCGAGGUGAUUUUUAGGAUCUCCUUUACCGUCAUAAGUUGGUAACUUAACCUUUCGAGAAUCUUUGAUCCGAAGGUUCGAGAUUCUCGAGGUAAAGGAAGUUCGACGAGUUUCUUCGAUUACUCGAUCGAUCUCAAGCGCCGAACUGGUCGCUUGAUAAAAUUUCGAUUUCAUUUCAUUAAGCUCUUGGCGAACUUUGAUGAAGUCGUCUGAUAGGGUGACAUCAGGAUCUUCUAUAGAAAAUCCGUCGUCAACAGGAAGAUUUCCCUGACCCUGGGGAAUUUCUUCCCUGGUUGGGUUAGUCGCAUCUCCUGCGGCUGCCGGAUUGUUAGUACUAACAGGCUGGCCUGUUUGAGGAGUUCGAGUAAUCCCAGGUGUCGCAAAUAACCUGCGCUGAUGCGUUGAUGUUCGCGUUGAGGACAAAUUAUCUAAACGGCUUGAAACAACGUUCUGCGCGUUUGACAAAUUUGUCUGGGUAGUUUGAACACUCGUUAAGGUUUGCUCGAUUGAGUUUAACCUUUCACCAAAAGUGGUGUUGGUAGUAAUAAGUGUACCCAUCUGAUUGGUCAGAUCGGUGGUUGUCUGAGUAAGCAAGACAAUUGCAUCGCUCAAUGCUUGCUGAUCAGCCAUAAUUUCUUGGUUGGGAAAGAAAGAUUUUGAGAUUAAAGAGUUUUGUUGUAACUCCCCAUAGGCGGCGCCAAAAUGUGGAUGUAGGAUUCACACUCGAUUAUCUUUAAGUAUUUUUGUGGAGAAAAACUCUUGUUAAAUAAGGAAGUAAAUAUGAGAAUUUGAAAAGGAAAACAACCAAGAAAAGGAGUAAAGAAAUUUGACGAAAGAUGAAGUGCAAAAUGCCUUGCGAAAAAUAGUAAAGAGAGAAAAAUGUAUUGUAUUGUUUAGAAGUAAUUAGUAAUGAGAUUCGUCCUCCUCAAACACAUGCGUUUGAGGUUGUUUUUAUAGAGAAAACAAGAUCAAUACGGUCAUUUACUGCUUAUAAUCGCGUUGAUCCGCAUUAAUCAUGUAAGUUACAUUUUGACCAAAACGGCUUGAAUUUGAACUAUCUUGGGCUUCGCGUGGAUCUUCCGAACUCUUUCUUGUUGACUCCGAACUCCCGCGUCUUGACGCUGCAGCGAGCCUCGAACAAUAUUCUCCUCGCUUCGGCCUUUCUCUAUGCGAACUGUAUGUUGAAUAAGAACGAACUUCGUACUGGUAAAGAUCGGACUCUUUUAGUAAACUGAAUCGAACUCCCGACUGGUUAAGCUCGAUUCUCAUAACAAAAUAUCUUUAAUUCCAAGAGGAUUAUUAUGUAAUAAUGACGUGGACAGAUCCAAAUGGAUCCUACCAAAAAUGUGUGAAAUCUGACCCUAACACGAACCCUAAGAAAAACUCUCCCUUCAAUCCACCAUAAUGAAAUCUGAAUCACCAACAAAGAUCCCAGAUCCACGUUGCCAGAGAAAUCGAAUGCCUGGUCGGGCUAAUCCAUCGGUUAAAAACCUCUGUCACCAAUGAAACCAAAGAAACCAAUCGAACCCUAGGAGAAAUUCUCUCAUCAAUCCACCAGAAAGAAGUUUCAAUCGCCCAUAACGAUCCCAGAUCCACCGUUGCUUGAUUAAUCGAACGCAUGGUCGGGCUAAAACCCUAGCGCUGUCGCCGCCAUCAUCGGGUUGAGAGCGUUUUUUUUUUUGUUUUUUUUCUUAGAAAGCAACUUGAUAAUUUGGUUUGAUUCACGAAACCAUUGAUAUUUAGUUAAUCUAUGUUAUUAUUUCAAGUAAUCUUAAAUUAAGACCUCUCACCACUUUAGUUUCGAAUUCGAUUUCCUUUUUCUAUAUUCAUCAUCUUUUUCCCUAAUUUCCUUUUAUUUCCUUACGGUAUUCUAAGUAUUAUGAAGUAAGAAAAAAAAAAAUAUUAUAAAUACGAUGUUAGGCGACCAACGACUAAUUUUUGUCAUUUAAAUCUUUAGUUAUUCCAUCAAUAAUCACGAAUAAUAUUUGUCAAAUUCCACACUCAACUACAUACAUCUACUAUAUUGAGAUCCUAAAUUUCUUUGUUUUGUCUAAGUUUUGUACGUUCUAUAAAGUGUUCCACGGUACAUAAAUUUCCUAACCUUUGAUAUUUUAAAGAACAUACAUGAUGAGAUCAAAUAGCUCUCAAAAAUAAUAUUCAUAUAAAAUCAAAUUGUACUCUCAAGUCGUUUAUGUAGUAUUUUAAUUUAUGAUCAUUCAAGAAAUAUAUAACAUUAGUUGCAGAACAUUAGAAGUAAUCAAAAGGCAACUUAAUUCAUUAUUUCAAAAUAAUAUGUGGACAGGAAAGUUGAUAGGAACUAAUUCCUAAUAAAUUAUGGCCUCACCCCUGAUUAUAAAUAUACUAACAAGGCUUUGGUUGAUAAUUAUUCAUCUACUAUAUUAUAAUCACUAUAUAAUUACCAAGUUUUGGCUCUAAGUGGUAAUCAAAGCCUCAAUAUGUAUUAAAUUAUGUAAAGUACUAAUUUGAUUAAUCAUCAUGAGUCAUAUCUCAUGGCCAUAAUUUAAUCGUAUAUCCAGUCAGAUAUAUAUAGACAGUAAGGCAAAUCAGAGCCAUGUAUAUUAAUAUAUUAAGAAAGUAUUAAUGUGUAGGUCUUGAGUUGCAUUGCAUCAUGUAUUCAUAUUUCAUAGCAACAUAAUUACUUGAACGGGUUUCCACGUCCAUAAUUUAAAAUGUAAAUUCGACUAUUCAAAUGUAUUAUUAACAAAUAAUUUAAAAAUGGUUGUAUUUUUCUUUAUUUCCAUGAAAUGUGUUUUUUUUUUUUUUUUUUUUGUUAAACCGUAGAAGUACUCAAUCUUUGCUUCACAAUCAUUCCAGUUAGUCAGUAAAUAUUUCCAUACAAUGGUUACUUACAUUAUAAGAUCUAAAACCAUUUACAAGAGCAAAUGGAAAUUCAUGCCAUAUAUGUAACAUGUAAUAACAAGAAAUAAAUUCGAGUGAUUUUAAUCAGUAAAGAACGUAACAUAUUUGUUUUAGGUUGAAGAUAUGUGAAUUAUUCUUAAGCCAAAAAAAAGCACAAGUUAAAUAAUGUGGUUAUUAUUGAUAGGCUUCUCUUGAUCAUUAAAGUUGAAGAUCAACGUUUAUUCUGCGAAUUUCUUAUUACCAUUCACAGUUUUCAUUGCAAUACAAUUUACUUCUUAACAAAAAUAAAAUGUUUUAGAUUCAAAUAUUGCAAUUUACUCUAUCUUUUUUUUUUUUUGGGGGGGGGGGGGGGGGGCAAACAAGUGAAAAAACAGAAGAAAAAGUAUUAGAUUUUGAUAUUUCAAUCUUAUCAAAUUUUUUUUGUUAAAUACUAAAUAUUAUUUAUUCAGAAGUUGAUUAUAUGUAACUGAAAUCCUCAAUAUUUCAAACACACUGAGUGUAAAUGGUAACAUGAAAAACAUAUUCAGCCAUAUUCAGCCAGAUUCAGCAAUUCCGCAGUUACCAUUUGCAAAAAACUAAAUUCAACCAGAUUCAACAGUUUUUCCAACAUCAACAGAUACAUAGUAUGUUCAUUUCAGAUAAAAAUUUGGAUUAUAGCGAUUCACAACUCGAAUUAAAAUAUUUUUGGCUAUUAAAAAUUACACAUCAAAUUUAUAUUUUAAAAUAAGUUAGAUCAUACAAAUACGAUAUAUGAAUAAUUCAUACACAUAAAAUCAUUACCAGAAUCGACAAGAGACAUAUUUAUAUUCAGAUAUCUAUAGAUAAGUUUAGAUAAUUUUAAUAAAUUUUAGAUACUUAAAUAUAAUUUUCCAAAUUUUUGCAAAAAUAACUCAUACUUAUGCUAAAGUAAUAUUUAAAAUAUCAAAUUAAAAAAAUUGUUAAUCAUCCUAAUCAUAUUAAGGAUUUAAACUACUAGAGAACAAUGAAAAAUCAAUAAGAUAAUCUAUACUAUAUUAUGAUGUUUAUUUUUAAAUUAAUUUUUCAAUAAAACUUUGACAAAGCUUUCUAUUAAUUAAUUAUAUCUUUUUAAUAGUUCAAAAAUUAGAUUUGGAAGAACAACUCAAUUUUGCUAAAAAUAUAUUAAUUCUAGUAUUUAUUUAUUGGUAUAAGAGUUUAUUAGACAAUUAGAUAAUUUUAUCUAUUUUAUUUAGAUAUUUUUCCUUAGUUAUUCUAUUAAUAUUCGUAAUUAUUUGACGAUAUUUUAGUUAAAGUCUUAAUUAUUUCGACAGAUUCUGCUGAAAAGCACAAAAACAUUCAGCUAUAUUCAGCGGUUACCAUUUGAAAAUGUAAAAAUUCAGCCAUAUUCAGCUAAAAAUUACUAAAAAUUCAGCCAGAUUCAGUAAUUCAGCCGGAUUCAGCCAGAUUCUUCGGUUACCAUUUAGACCCACUGUCUUUCAUCUUAUCAUUAAGUACAUACAUCAUACGGUCAUAUGCAAAGAAAAAUACAAACAUAUUAAAUUACUAUACCCAAGUGGAUUUUAGUGUCAUGUAUUUGAGUAUAUAGCCUGGUCAAGUUUACACACUUAGCUCUUGAAUAAAAUAUUAAGAAGAGGAAGUCACUCAUUCACGCAAUUGAGUAAAGAUGUAAUAAAUAAUCUACUUACGUGUAUAUUAAAAAAAUCAUAAUGAAUUGAUUAGAUAGAAAAAAUCCGUUGGAUCAUUUUUUUUUUUGGAACAAGAUUAAGUAUUUAUAUUGUUUUCAAAAUUUUUGACAGAAGUAACAAACUACAACACAACACAAACACCAAGAAGUACAAAAGGAAACCCAACAAGCAAAAUCCCAUAUAUUGAAUUGUUGCCUAAUGCCUAUUACUGUAGUAACAAAAUUACAAAAUCAUCAAAAGUUUGGUUUUGCAACUAGUUUCCUUUUCUUUUCCUUUUGGUUGAACGUGACCAGCUUCACACUACAAAAAAACUGUACAUUUAUAGCACCUAAUAAUAGCACGAUUUUCACAUUUGCUAUCUAAGAUGAGUUUGUAAUUUGCUUACCAUAUGAUAGCAUUUGAUAAACGCUAUAAUAGAGUUUCAAUAAGCGGGAAGUAAAAUCACUUAUACCGCCAAACACUUAGCCAAAUUUACUAAAACGCAAAAACUUUCUUCUUCUCUUAACACUUUGUCGCGACUCUCUUCUUCUCUUAACACUUAGAGAAACGAAACCCUUAAACCUUCAAAUCUCCAAAUCUAUCGCCGUCGCCAAUUCCGGCGAAAUCUCUCGCCGUCGCCGCUCUCUGAAACACCGCCGGAUCUAAUCUCAGAAGAGCUGAUCCAAUUGAAGGUGAUUUUAUCCGACUCUCUCUCACUUUCACUUUACCCAGUUGUCGAAACCCUUAAAUCUUCAAUUGGAGCUCAAAUCUGUUUAUGUGUUUCGAUUUCCUGAUGAAAUUGGAACAAUAAACGGGUUUUUUUUAUGACAUGCAAGAGAUAUGUUUAUGUGUUUAUGUGUUUGCUCAAACAUGUUUAGCUCAAGUCUGUUUAUGUGUUUAUGUGUUUGCUCAGAUCUGUUUAUGUGUUUUGAUUUGGUCAUUAUAAGUCUCUACGAUUUCGUUUUAGCUUAGUAUGUUAACAUUUGCAAUGAAAGAAUAAAAAUUUUGGUUAUGUAUCUGAUUUUAGAACAUUUGUUUAAGAUCCGUUCAAACAAGCAUUGCUGUUUCUUAUUCUUUUUUGUCAAAAAGAACUUGCUUUACUUCCCUUAUUUCCUUCUCCAGUUGUUCAAUCUGUAUAAUUUAAGGUUUACUUUUUAGUUUAGUCGAAAUACACAUUCUUGGUCAGUAUUAAGAGAUGCAAGAGUGAUUGAAAAUUGUUUUCUUUUGAGGCCAGACUCUGGUUGAUUGACAUACCAAAUCCAAUUGAGUUUCUUGUUAAAAAGCUCGUAAAACACGCUAUGAGUCUGUUUGAGAUAUGAGUUUUAUUUUCUGUAUCCGAGCAAAGCUUCUCCACCAUUUUACAUAUAGGUUGUGUAUAUAAGUUAAGAACAUGUUUUGAUGAUUAUAGUUUGGUUGUGUAUCUUGGAUAUUUCAUUACUUUGGUUUUGUAUAUGAAAGUUUGAAUAUAUAUAUAUCGUUUUUAUAUGAGAUCAAACAGUAAUAUCUUAUACUCUUUCUCUACUUAUGUUUUGCAGGUGUUGAUCAGUGCAAUAAAGGAAUUUUGAAGCUGUUCUUUAUCUCCAAUCACAGUACAGGUUAAGUGCUUCUAUCUUUGUCUCUUAUGAUGAUUAUUUGUAUUGCAGUUUCAUUACUCUGAAUAUAUAACUCGUUUUUAUGACUUUUAAAACUUAAACUCUUUCUCUAACUAUGUUUUGCAAGUGUUGCUGAGUGCACUAAAGGAAUUUUGAAGGUUUUCUUUAUCUCUAAUCACAGGACAGGUUAAUAGCUUCUUUCUUUGUCUCUUAUGAUGAGUCUUUGUACUGCAGUUUCAUUACUUUGACUAUAUAAAUCGUUUUUAAUGACUUUUAAAACUUAAACUCUUUCUCUAAUUAUGUUUUGCAAGUGUUGCUGAGUGCACUAAAGGAAUUUUGAAGGUUUUCUUUAUCUCUAAUCACAGGACAGGUUAAUAGCUUCUUUCUUUGUCUCUUAUGAUGAGUCUUUGUACUGCAGUUUCAUUACUUUGACUAUAUAAAUCGUUUUAAGAUCAAACUGUAAUAUGACUUUUAAAACUUAUACUCUUUCUCCAAUUAUGUUUUGCAAGUGUUGCUGAGUGCAUUGAUGGAAGUUUAAAGAUUUUAUUUCUCUCCAUUGACAGGACAGGUUAGUAGCUUCUUUCUUUUUGUCUCUUUUGUUUGUUUAUUUUUGUCUGGUUGGUUUGUUGUUAAUGCUGUUAGGUUGUUUCAAACAUACUGUUUUGUUUUGAGUUUGUUUAUAUUGUUUUAAUAUAUGUGAUAUGGUUGUUUCUCUCUAGCUCUAAAAGAACGUAGGUAUAUUUGUGUCUGAAUUGUUUUAAAGUACAAAGUUAUUUUUUGAUGAGUCUGAUUUUUUCAAUAACUCUGUUCUUAUAUGAUGUUAAGGAUACUAAAGGUUUUAAAUUAAGCUUAUAUCAUAUAAUGCUGGACAAAGAUUGGGUGCAUCUUUGCAGGUAUUAAAUUUAAUUAUAUAGAUGUUAAGUUUUCAAUAGGGGUUUGUAGAUUUUUUUUAUUUCUUUCUUUUUUAUUUUUUUUCUCUUCAUUCUUAAAUGAAGAGCUGAUCCAGCUUAUCAAAGAGGGGCUUCAGAUUUUGUAAGAGUUGUGUCUGCGGCUUUGGUAGAUGGUGAUAUGAUUGUAUGUCCUUGCAUCGACUGUCGUAAUAUAGAUCGUCACAUAGGAAGUGUUGUAGUUGACCAUCUUGUUAGAAGAGGUAUGGAUGAGGAUUAUAAGCGGCGGUCUGAUUGGUAUCAACAUGGAGAGUUAAAUUCUGGGGUUGAAGGUGACAGUAAAUUCAGUCAAAUGGAUGAGAUAUAUGGGUUAUAUCAAGCUGCUGAGUUCAUGGAUGACGACUUUGUUGGAGAUGAUGAACCUGAUGAGACCGCAGAUUGUGAGAACAAGAAAGAAGAUGACUUCUUUGCAAAGCUUGCAGAUGCUGCAUCACCCUUAUAUCCAAGUUGUGUGAAUCACAGUAAACUCUCGGCAAUUGUGUCCCUAUUUAGACUUAAGACACAAAAUGGGUGGUCUGACAAGAGUUUCAAUGAUCUUUUGGAGACACUAUCGGGGAUGCUACCGGAGGACAAUGUGCUACAUACAUCACUAUAUGAUGUGAAGAAAUUUUUUAAGUCAUUUGAUAUGGGCUACCAGAAGAUUGAUGCUUGUGUUAAUGAUUGCUGCUUAUUCAGAAAGAAGUACAAGGAUCUCGAGAAUUGUCCUAAAUGCAAAGCUUCUAGAUGGAAGACGAACACGGUUAAUGGUGAAGUAAAGAAAGGUGUUCCACAGAAAGUGUUACGCUACUUUCCAAUAAUCCCACGGCUGAAAAGAAUGUUUAGAUCUGAGGAGAUGGCUAAGGACUUGAGGUGGCAUCAUAGUAACGAGAGCAACGAUGGGAAACUCCGCCACCCUGUGGAUUCAGUAACAUGGGCUCAGAUGAAUGCAAAAUAUCCUUCCUUUGCAGCUGAAGAAAGAAAUGUGCGGCUUGGUCUUUCAACGGAUGGAUUUAAUCCAUUCGACAUGAAGAACAACAACUAUAGUUGCUGGCCUGUUUUGCUAGUAAACUAUAAUUUGCCACCAGACUUAUGCAUGAAGAAGGAGAACAUCAUGCUUACAUUGUUGAUACCUGGACCACAACAGCCUGGUAACAGCAUUGAUGUAUACUUAGAGCCGCUCAUAGAUGAUCUAAUUCAUCUGUGGAACAAUGGAGAGACGACAUAUGAUGCAUUUAGUAAAUCAACUUUUAAUCUUAAGGCAAUGCUGCUUUGGACGAUUAGUGACUUCCCGGCUUAUGGGAAUCUUGCAGGCUGCAAAGUAAAGGGUCAGAUGGCAUGUCCAUUAUGUGGCAAAAAUACAGCAGUUUGUGGUUGAAGUUCAACCGAAAACAUGUGUAUAUGUGCCAUCGGAAGAGACUGCCAGCAACGCAUAGUUUCAGAUUAAAGAAGUCAUGGUUUGAUGGAAAAACUGAACCAGGGAUAAAGGGAAAAAUAUUGACUGGAAAAGAAAUUUCUCAAAACCUGAAAAAUUUCAAAAAUGACUUUGGAAAUCUGAAACGAUCUGGACGCAAGAGAAAAAAGACUGAGUCUAAUGGUAUGGAGUCUGAUGACGAGGAGUUAUCAAGUGAGUCGGAAGAUGAUGAAGAAGAUGAAGUAAAUGUAGAUGAGGAUGAGUUAUCAAGAUGGAAGAAAAGGUCUAUAUUUUUCAAGUUACCGUAUUGGGAGGUAUGUUUAAACUUCGAUAUUAUUUAAUUUUCAAAUUUUAUUCAUUAAACUUUGUUUAACGUUAGAGUUAAUUAUUGUAUUUGUUCUAUGUAUUUUAUAGGAUCUUCCUGUGAGGCAUAACUUAGAUCUUAUGCAUGUAGAAAGGAAUGUGGCUGCAAGUAUUCAUGUAGAAAGGAAUGUGGCUGCAAGUAUUCUUUCUACUAUGUUACAUUGUAAGAAAUCAAAGGAUGGUCUAAAUGCAGGAUUUGCACCCUAGGAUUCAAGGGAAAAGAACAUAUCUACCUGCAGCUCCUUGGUCUCUAUCGAAGAAAGAGAAAAAAAUUUUAUGUCUCUAUCGAAGAAAGAGAAAAAAAUUUUAUGUAGUCGUCUUGUUGAUUUCAAAGGACCAGAUGGAUACUGCUCAAACAUAGCAAGACUGAAAUCACAUGACUACCACGUAUUAAUGCAACAACUCCUUCCAGUUGCACUUAAAGGUUUGUUACCUAAAGGUCCACUUAAAGGUUUGUUACCUAAAGGUCCUAGGCUAGCAAUUUUACGCUUAUGUGCAUUCUACAACCAAUUGUGUCAGCGAGUAAUUGAUAUGGAGCAGAUUGUGGUAAUGGAAGCUGAGGUUGUAGUGAAUUCUUAAAGAAGUCUACAAACGUACAGGAAAAACUAGAUAGAAACACUGACUAUGAGAAUAGUUCUAUACUAGAGGGUCGUCCUAUAUCCGCAGCCACUUCCAUAACUCUCUCAGAAAUGGAUAAGAAAAUAGCUCAUCUUGCUGUCAUCCAAAAUAUGGCUGUCGUCGAACCUUAUAUCGAGUAAGUUCUAUACAGUUCUUGUUCUAUUAUUAUUUACAGUUUUAUGAUAAAGUAUCUGAUUAAGCUUCUUAUUAUUAAUAUUGUACAAGUGAGCACCUUCAGCAUCUACAAGACACCAAUGGAAGAUGCCGACGUGAUGCAUCAGUUUUAUGGGCUAUGCAUUCUGAGAAUUUUGCAUCUUGGUUAAAACAGCAGGCAAGUUACAUCAAAUCUACUAUUUUCUGUUGUUAUUUCAUGUUUUUAUGUGUAUGUGUCUGAUUUGUUAUAUUUAUUUCUCGUAGAUACCAAUUGAUUCAGACAGACAUGGAGAAGUUAUAAAAUGGUUGGCUUACGGUCCACGUUAUAUGGCACGGUCAUAUACAGGUUACAUAGUGAAUGGUCAACGGUUUCAUACAAGUUUAGUUGAUAGGAAAAAUCAGAAUAGUGGGGUUUUCUAUGAGGCAACAGCAGUCUGUAGGGCUAGUGCGAAAGAUACUUCACAAGUGGUUGAUUUGGUAUCUUACUACGGCAGAGUGAUAGACAUCAUACUAUUAGAUUAUAAUGUUUUUUAUGUUCCUCUCUUCCGGUGUCACUGGGCAGUAAUGGGUAAUGGAGCUAAGAUAGAAGAUGGUUUCACACUAGUUAACAUGAAUCAUAGUCAAGUCUCUUUUUUAAAAGAUCCAUAUAUAUUAGCAUUGCAAGCAAAGCAGGUGUUUUACUUAAGGGAAGACGCAGAAUCAAGUUGGCAUGUUGUUAUGCAAGUUCCUUCAAGAAGAUAUAAUAAAGAUUUGGAUGAUGGAAUUGCAGACAUUGGACCAUUACCAGCAAAUGUGGACAUGGAUGUUCACAUGGAUGAAUCUGAAAAUGCCCGAACUGAUUGUGAAGGCAUAUUUGUCUGAAAUGGAGUCUGUUUGUCAUUUACAUUGUUGUUGUUUUAUUUGCUAUGUCUGAUGACUACUUGGUAAUUAUUUUAUUUUUAGUUGUGUUUGUUUGGCAUUCACAUUCUUGUUUUAUUUGCUACGUCUGUUGACUGCUUGGUAAUUGUUUGAUUUGUAUUUGUGUUUCCAUUUGCUAUAUAUCUGAUGACUGCUUCGUAAUUGUUUAAUUAACCCUAUUUUCUUUCAUUUAUUUCAGGUGAGUUGACAUGGGACCAAAGAAAGUAACAAACCGUGGAGGGAGAAAAAAGAAGAAAGAUUCUGAAGAGCCAGAAUUCUUGGGUACAAUAAACCCGCCACAACCUGAUCAUAACUUACAACACAACCAGCGUCUAGAAGGAGUUCAGCCUUUAGAAGAGCAGGAUCAGCAUCCUUCAGAAGAGCAGCCUGUAGAAGCUCAGCCUUUAGAAGAGCAGGAUCAGCAUCCUUCAGAAGAGCAACCUGUAGAAGCUCAGUCUUUAGAAGAGCAGGCUCAGCAUCCUUCAGAAGAGCAGCCUGUAGAAGAUCAGCCAGGAGUUAAUGAUGGGACUGACGAGCACGAUCAUGUAGCUAAACCUACACGUAAGAGAAAGCGAGGACCAACAAGAUUGAGAGACAUCGCCAGGAAUCCAAAUAGCAGAUUAAAGGUUAACUUCACUUUCAUGGGAGAACAUUAUGGUCAUGGGUCUGUUAAGUUGUCAACGUAUCUUGGUAUAAUUGUGCGAGAACACGUUCCUGUAUCCAUUGAAAGUUGGCCAAAAGUCCCUCAGGAUAUGAAGACAAUGCUCUGGAUGUCUGUCAAGGUAAACUUUUCUGUAAUUUGACAUCUACUUACUUAAUCUUUCCAGGUUGAAAUGUUUUUUUCUUAAAACAUUGAUUGAUUGCAGUCAAGGUUUGAAGUAGAAGAAGAUUACCAAAAGAAAGCAUUGAUUGAACAGAUGGGAAAUUUGUGGAGGUCACACAAGUCACGAGUGGUUAGGGAAGUUAAUGAAGCUACGACUUUGAAAGAUAGGAUGGAUCUGCGACCUAAGAAUGUUACUGAAGCUGCUUGGCGUAAAUUUGUCAAGCUCAAAACUAGUCCUGAGUUUAAGGUAUUAUUUUCUGAAGUAAGUAAGCUUUAUGUUUGUUUAUGAAUAAUAUGACAUAUCUAUAAUCAUGUGUUAGGUUGUGAGUGAUAGCUAUAAGAAAAGGAAGAGCCUACAGAUUCCACACACUUGUAGUCGCAAAGGAAUGGUUAGACUAGCUGAAGACUUGGUACGCCAAAUGCUUUGGAUUAUUAAUUCUCAUCAGUUUAACAAGUAUUUUGAAUGAUCUAUUCUUUUAUUUGUUUAGAAAGAAGAGAGACGAGAGAAAUCAGAUCCUUCUGAUGUGACAAGAACUGAUGUGUGGGUGAGAUCGCGUACUAGAAUGGAUGGGACACCAGUGAAUACUGAUGCAGCUGAAAAAAUUGUAAGUUAUAAGUUAUGUACAUCGUGAAUUUGAUUUUCAGUAUAGAUUUAGAUUUUUGGAAUUGUUUUUGAUAUGUAACUAAAUUUGCAGAAAAAGGCAGCUGAACUUGUUAAUUCUGUUGAAACAAAUGAAGGACAAGAUACACUUGUCGAACUAUUAGGACCUGAUAAUCCCGGUCGAAUGAGGGCAAUGGGGAGAAAUAUGACUAAGACGAAAUUAGCUUGUUUCGAAGUUAAUCACAAGUGUAUGGUUAAAAUGGAAAAGAAACAAAUUCAUCUCCAGGACAAGGUUAAUGAGCUAGAAAUAAACUUGGUAAACUGCAGAACCAGGUAAUGCACUUUUGUAUUUUUUGUACAUUAAGCUGUUGGGUUGUAACAUAAAUUAAAAGUUAAUAUUUUUUCUGGCAUGUCACAGGGACAAGAAACUGAAGUUGGUGAAAACUCUAGAUCUGCUGCAGGGGUAAGUGAUUAAUAAUCCAUGAAAUUGAUUUCUUUAUAACUAUAAAGUCUGACUUGUUUUUUUCUACUCUGAAUCUGCAUAGAGUGUUAACAAAAAAGCACAACCAAAGUGUAUAUUGAUUGACUGGGCUGGUGAUGAUGCGAAUGUUGCUGAGGGACGUAUUAUAUCUACUGAUCCAGAGGAUGUUGUGAAUGGGACACGUUUAGGUCCUUUAGAUUAUAAAGUUUUGGUUGAGACUGCCACGGUACCAGAAGCAUUCCUUUGGAGAAAUGCUAUGGGAAUGUCAACAAUUGAAGAAUCUGUUGGGCAUAUGAUUGCAUGGCCUGCCACGAAGUGUGUUAGUCUAGAACAGGGGGUUCAGGAAGAAGACAUGGCACCACUAGUAAAGUUUCUAACUUGUUCAUUAAUUAAUAAGUUUAUACAGAUUGUUGAUGAUUUAAAAUUUUGACAUUGUUUUAUGCGUUUAACAGGGCACAAGAGCCAAUUCUUUGAACAAAUGCAAACUACUUGAUCUGUCUAACGAUGAUGUAGUUGUUGCUGAAGGCCGUUGGACCACGCAAGAUCGUAAAGCUUUGGUGAAUGGACUUUCACUCGGACCAAAGGCUGUAAAAGUGUUUGUUGAUGUGGUACAUGAAGCCAAUACAUUCAUAUGGAGGCCUACAAUGGAUGUUACAUACAUAGAAGACUGUUUAAUGUCCUUUGUAGCAUGGCCUUUCAACAAAGUUUUCUUCGAAAACAACCCAGAUGGAACAGGCCGGUUAUCUCCUAUUCAGAAUUAUGCAUCUACUCAAACAGCUCAUGGAAAAUCAGCAUCAUCAAGUCAAAAAUCCACAGCAACAGGUUCUAAAUCGCAACCAGCUCAUGGAAGAUCAGCAUCAGCAAGUAAAAAAUCCGCAGCAACAGGUUCUAAGUCGCAUAUGCAACCAAUCUCAGCAUCAUGUGAGAAGUCUCCAACAACAGUUCCAAAAUCUAAUGCAGUGGAAACUCAAACAGCUGCACCGUCCCGGCCUCUUCGAAGAUCUCCGGUAACUUAUUUUAUAUGUUCUAAAGUUGAUUAUGGUUCUGUCUCAUUUUACUGUAGUAAUUGGUUAAUAUGGUCAACUUGUCAGCGGAAAAAAGGAGCUAUACAGGAAAAUCAGAAGUGUAUGUUACUGGAUAUUAAAGAAAGGAAGCAAGUUGUUGCUGAAGGACGGGUGAUUUCAACUGAUCCAGAGAGACGUGUACACUGUGCUCCUUUGGGUCUUAAUGUUGCGCAAGUUUUGGUAGAUAUAGUCCAGGUAGAUGAUGCAGCGGUUUGGAGGACAUCAUAUGAGAUUGAGUAUAUGAAAGAUGCACUUGGUUCAUUUAUCGCAUGGCCAACUGAUAACUUGGUCAUGUAUUGACUAUCGUCCAACUGAGGUAAGUAUUUUUUAUUUUGAUGAUUGUGUUUUUGGUUUUUCAGGUGCAAAACUGAUAUAAGACAAUGUCCAUUAUUAAUUGCAGGGGAUGAAGCAACUUUGGUCCAGCUAGCUUAAUUUAGGUUAAGACUAGUCUUUAUGUAUUUUGGAUUCAGAAUGUUUAAUGUUUGGUAUGUUGGAUUUGGAAUUGUUUUUGGUAUGUUGGAUUCGGAAUUGUGUUUGGUAUGAUGCGGAAGUGUUUUAAGUAUGUUGGAAUGUUUUUGAGAUGUUAUAAAUGGUUUCAUUUUAAAUUUACAGGUUAUAUAUAUAUAUAUAUUACAUUUACAGGUUAUAUAUAUAUAUAUAUUACAUAUGAUAGCAUGUUAUAUUUUUAAAGAUGGCACUAUGAAAACAUGAAUUAACGCAACAAAUAUUUGCUAUUGUAUAGUGAUCUAUUAUAGCACCCAAUUUGAAUUAUCAAAAAAAAUUGAAAAAAUUCGUAAAUUGCUAUGAACAACUAAAUAAUGGCAAUAAAUUAUUGCUAUGAAAACGUAAAUAAUAACACUAACAAAGUGCUAUUGUAUAUGAACAUACUAUAGCAGACAAAAUUAAUGCUAUCGUAGGUGGGACAUCUACCAUAGCUGCCGAGAUCAUAGCAGUUGUUAUUUCGCUAUGUAUUACCUAUGAUAGCAUUUUUUCCGCGCUAAGAAUGUAAAUUUUUCUUGUAAUGUCAUCAAGGUGUAUAAUUACGUUAAAUUUUUAUUUAUGCAAUUUGGUGAUGCAAUUAAUUAGCUGUAACCUUAGCAUCCAUGUGGGAUGCAACUUCUUAAACUAUGGGGACUUUGGCACUGCCUUUUCUAACAUGAAGACAUGGUAAUGGUAAGCUCUUCUUGUUCAUUAUGGUAUAAUAAAUAGACUUCGUUUCGACAGUUACAAUUCCUCGAACCAGUCAGGCCAAUUAUAUUUGUGGGCUAGAAAAACAACCUUUUAGGAUCAUUUAGGUAGAAAUAAAUGUUCGGAUUUCAAAUGUGUUUUAAAAAUAAAUUAAUUUCUCCUUUUUGAAAUUUUUGGCCUAAUUUCUAGUUGAAAAUCAAUGGAAGUUAAAAAUAUUUGGAUCUAUUUAAAAAAAAAAUUAAAUUCGUAAAAAUAAAUCUAAAAUAUUUAAACUUCGGGUCUAUUUUUAGCUAGUUAAAGUUUUAAGUGAACUUUGUACAAAAUAUAAAAUUAUUAAUUAGUCAUGAGCCUAUGAAUCCUUUCAUUUCUACCAUAUCCAUUUGACCAGACUUGUUUUGAAUCAAAUUGCAACGGCUCCUUGACCUCUUGAUUCAUCUGUGUCUAAAGCAAAAACAAGUAAAAGUUGAGUUUUUAAUGUUGUUUGUAUUAACGGUGUAAACGUCCUCUUUUUUCCUUUAAAAUUGUCCGCGUGUAGUUAUCUAUAGAUUAUUUCACUAGAUAAUCUGUACUCUCGCAAUGGUUUAUUAGAUACGUAAAGAAUGUUGAAACUCCAAAAUCCGAAAGUUUCAUAGUAUAUUUUCAACAAAGAACACUUAGAACCAUAUUCGAACUACGUCUCACAAGGUUCCUUGGCACAAGGGAGUAUGAUUUGCUCAUGCAAUACCGAAACACACUCCUUUUGUAUGUGGCUAGUGAUUCAAGACAGGCUAUCAACCGGAGAUCGUAUGAUGAAGUGGAAUGGGAGUGCCUCGGGUAACAGCGUUCUUUGUACGAACAACAUAGAGAUUCGCGAUUAUUUGUUUUUCUCCUAUAAUUAUGCUAUUGAAAUUUGGGCUGGUCUUGCCAAGGGUCUGUGGAAGACACAGUUUACGUCGAACUGGUCCCAGAUAAUUGGUCACGUCUCGGAUCAAACUCAAAACCGUGUAGAAGGGUUUAUACUGCGGUAUAUUGAAUUAAGGCUUUGAUCAAGAACACCAAACUUAAGAAUAACUCUCUCUUUUAUUAAGCUUUAGAAAUUACUCAAACUAAAACUCAAUCUCAUAAGUUGUAUCACACCUUGAUACCUCCUUAUAUAACAAAAGCUAUUGACCUAAUCCUAACUCAAUUAGGAAUUGUAUUAGAUAACUCCUAAUACAUUUAUUUUAGAUAACUCCUAGAAUAUUUAGCUUUAUCUCUUUUACAUUUUAGUAACUUAUCUCUUAAGUUAUUUCAAGUUUAUCACAACACGGUAUGUCUUCUAACCCACUAUCUAUACUGUUUGGAGAGGGAGGAAUGAGCGACAACAUGGACAAACACCAAAAACUUCAACAAGACUGAUAGGAUGGAUUGACAAACAGGUUUGCAAUCAACUCACUACUAUUCGACGUUUGGGAAAUUGAUGAUACGACAUGGCCUUUCAAGUCUGGCUCCAUGCACGAGCGUGAAUCUUUUUUACCCUCAUGAACAUUUUAAAAUUUUGAAAGUAGCUAUAGUUUUCUAAAUUUUUUUCGAUAAACUAUUGCACUUGUAAAAACGUUAUUCUUUUUUUAAAUAUAAUUUAACAUUACAUUGAUAAAAAAAAAAAAGAUAGUCUCAUAGCAUAAACAAGUCGGGUACAAAUGAGCAGUUCCAAAACAUGAUUGUUGGAAAUUUACGUUUGAUAUGAAAAAGACUCAUAAUUUUUUAAAAAUCUAAUUACAAAAGUUUUUUUUUCAUAUUUGUAAUGAGCAAUAACCAUAUAUCUUCCCUAUCUCUGAUCACUCUUUUUUUUUUUUUUUUUGUCAUAAGAGUGUUAUCUUUAUAUAUAAGCCAGUACAAACCAAGCCAGUACAAAGGUGAACAAAGCCACCAUGAGCAACAGUCGUUACUACAGAUAUGAUUACCAAAAACAAACUUGACAAUCAUUAACACAGGUUAAACAUGUAGCAUAAACUGAAGUAGUCUAAAACAGAAUCCAAAAAGUGUUUUAAUCUGUUCUAGAACAUUAUUCAACUAACAACUAAAUUAAACCUGUAAUGGUAGUUACAGGGACCCAAAAAGUGAUGACAGAAGUUUGUAUAGCAAUUUAUCUUUUUUUAGGAGGCUUCAGAAUUCCUCCUUUCUCAUCUUCCUGUAGCUUUUUCUUUUGUUGCCUAUCAUCAUCUCUGUUAUUGAAGUGGGAAUUGGUACGUUUUGACGAUUCACCAACCUCAAAGUAUCGAGGCAUUCUGGAAUUGAUUCCUUCAUCAAUACUUGGUGAAGUCGUGGAUCCAGUGGAAGAAUGUCUUCUCCAAGUGGCUGUGUGAGUGGUUGAAGUUGCCAUAUGUUGAAGAUUUCCUAAGCUUGAUACUGGGAAUUGAGGAUAGGCUGCUGCAAAUUCAUCAGGGUUUAAAGGUGGAGAAUCUAACCUUGGUGGUGGAGUCAAAGGAGUUGGAAAAGUGUCAUCCGAGUUCUGAGAGUGAGAGUUAUGAUUGGAGUGAAUUUCCUGACCAUGAGUCCUUCUCCUAUUGUAGACUGGUACAUCAAUAACUUCAGGACUAUUUCUUGGAGUGUGAGGAAAAUGAUUGUAAGGACAGUGGCUGCUUUGAUGAGUGAGUUGAAGACAACGACUGCAAAUCCUUCUCAGGCUCUCAUAUUGAAAGCUAAUCAUAGCCCUUUCUCUAGAUUCAAAGCAGACCCUUCUAAAGAACCUCAAACUAUCAGUGAUGCCAAUGCGAAUUCUAACUCUGAUAGAAGUUAUAUCAGUAGUGAUCUCAUCAUGAAAAUCUAGAUAGAUAACCUGUCCUAUGGUUGCAGCAAUAAACCUGGCUGUUCCUUCAGAAAAACAUAUGGUAGUGGUAUUCCGCGGAUUUGAACCCAUAGAUCAAGGGUAGUGAGGAAAUAAACAUCGGGGAAGUCUUCCCAGCGUUGAGAUGCGAUGAACCAAUUGUUAAAAACCCAUGGAGCACGACGUUGAACUGAUACUAAAUCUGCUUCAGAUUGAAAUAAAAACUGGAUGUAAGUAUCACUUAGAACUCUACCAUGUAUUCGUGAAGCCAGUCCCCAGAGUCUUGGUAGUGAUGCAACAACAGUAUGUAAGUUUUGAGCUCUGUUGUUGAGAGGCCGAGCAAGAAGGCUAAGACGAUUCCUUCUUGAAAGUGAAGGCUCCCAAGUAAGGCUAAUUCUCAAAUUCUUCCAUCCUUUCUGACUCAAACAGAGAUUGAAGCCAACUAGGAGAACCUGUUGCCACAUAAGAUUGAAAACGAUUGUCUUGUAUUACACUAAGAGCAAUGAGAGAAGCCCCUUUGUUUGAAACAGAUUCAGCUUUUUCAAUUUGCCAGUUCUGAAUAGGCUCUAUCCGUUUGUUGAUUUCUGUAGCAAAGUAUUGCAUAGAGAGCCAUUCUUUAGGUUUGAUGACAGCGUUGACCAUGUCAAUAGCUUCAGAGGCAAAAAUCACAAAGUUGAUUUUGUGACUAAUCAUGUUAUCUAUAGCCCACACUAUACUUUGAAAUUUUGCUUCCAUCAGAGAAUGAAUGUUAGAGAAUGAUCGUCUGCUGUGUAAUAAAACUUUACCUUUAUCAUCUCGUAACACCCAUGAGAAACCACCAAUGCUGCUUUGUCUUGACCAAGCCAUACCUAUGUUGCAUUUUAACCAUGGUGCAGGAGGCUUCAUCCAAGUCUUUAUAAUCUUUCCUCUGUCAAAGAUUCUUGAAGUAGCAUAUAUUGUUUCAAUGGAAUGAGCAAUAAACCAUUGGUUUGCUUCCUCUUUAAUUUUCAACACUAGAUCUGUAAGCACAAUUUGCUUCCCUUCAAAGAGAAAACCAUUUCUGUUUUUCCAUAAAUACCAAAGAAUCCACGGGAAGCUCCUUCUUAUAGAUGCUGAUACUUCUUGAUUCUGAGCCAGAGAAAGUAAAUAUUGGAGAUUGGCAAAUUCUGAGUGAGAUUCAAAACCACCUGGUGGACAAGGAAAAUCAUAGAUAGCCCAGACUUGACGCGCAAUUGAACACGAGAACAAUACAUGAUUAGUAGAUUCUGUUUCCCAACCACAGAAUUGACAUCGUGUAUCACUACUCAUUCCUCUGAUUUCCAACUUAUCACCGACAGCAAUAGCCCCACUUAGGGCUCUCCAAAUAAAACAUUUAAUUUUUGGAGAAGUCUGUAAUGACCAGACCUGAGUUUUUAAGUCGUUUAAUGAAGGACGCAUCUCAGCAGCUUCAAUGAGAUCAGAGUUAUGAAGUCUAUUGGCUAACAAGUAGCCUGAUUUAACUGAGUACUCACCACUUCUAUUAUGCAGCCAACACCAAAAAUCAUCUUUUGAAGUCACUGGUUUAUUGAUCAGAAUUAGAUUCACAUCCCUGGGGUAGAAUAACUCCUGCAGUUUUUCCAUGUUCCAGGCUCUAUUUUGAAAAUCAAUUAAGGCUGAAACUCGAAGAUUUAAAUCCACAAAGAUAUUUCGCAUGAACGGAACUCUCAUUCCAUUAUCAAAAAUCCAUGGAUCAAUCCAGAUAAGAGAAGAAUUACCAUUACCAAUCAUCUUGCGGAGACCUUGUAGUAGCAAUUGACGUCCAUGUAAAAUACUUCUCCAAAUAAAUGAAGGCCUGGAACCCAAAGUUGCGUAGAGAAUUUCAUUAUCUUCGAAAUAUCUGCUUUUCAUAACUCUAGCAAAAAGACUUGAAGGAUGUUGCAAAAUUCUCCAAACUUGUUUUGCUAACAAGGCUUGAUUAAAGCACUGUAUAUCCCUGAAACCUAAUCCACCUUGAUCCUUAGAUAAGCACAGUUUACCCCAGCUUAACCAAUGAGUUUUCUUUUUAUGUUCCAGAGAAUUCCACCAGAAAUUGGACAUGGCAGCAGUAAGUUUUUCGCAAGUUGUUUUUGGUAAUUUAAAACAAGUCAUGGCAUAUACUGGAAGAGCCAUUGCAAUUGCUUUAAGAAGAACUUCUUUACCUCCAAGCGACAAGGUGCGUUCAAACCAGCCAGAUAACUUAGACUUUAAUCUAUCAUAGAUAUAGUCCAGAAGUUGUACUUUUGAUCCACUAAAACAUUCAGGGAGACCAAGAUAUGUACCUGUUCCUCCUUCUUUGUGAAUGCAUGUCAAGUGUUUGAUUGAAUUCUGCACCUGAAGGUUGACUUUGGAACCAAAAGUGAUUGAAGAUUUGUUUAUAUUAACCCUCUGGCCUGUCAUAUCUCCAUAAGAAUCCAAGAUAUGUUGAAGAGAAGUUGCUUGAUCCUCAGAGGCUUUACAACUAAAGAGGCUAUCGUCAGCAAAAAGGAGGUGGUGAAUUGCUGGACCUGAUGGAGAAAAUUGAAUUCCUUGAAUAGCACCUGAUCUUUCAGCCCGAUUCAACAUAUGAGAUAAUCCUUCAGUACAUAAGACAAAGAGAAAUGGAGAAAUAGGAUCUCCUUGCCGCAGUCCUCUUUGUGGUACUAUCAUACCAAAUGGUUGAUCAUUAAUCACUAUGGAGUAAGUGACAGAAGAAACACAAAACAUUACCCAACCAAUCCAUUUUUGAUGAAAGCCUAAAGCAGCUAGUAAACCUUGAAGGUAACUCCAUUCUAACCUGUCAAAAGCUUUAGACAUAUCAGUCUUAAUGGCCAUAUAUUCCUGAGAUAUAACCGGAUGCGUUCUGAGAGCAUGAAUCAUUUCAUGAGCAAUUGAAAUAUUAUCAGAAAUAAGACGUUCUGAGACAAAGGCAGAUUGAGUAGGCGAGAUAAGCAAGGGUAACAGUGGCUGCAAUCUGGAGGCCAUAAUCUUGGAGAUAAUCUUGUACAAAACAGAGCAUAGACUAAUCGGUCUAAGGUCAAACAUUUGAGUAGGAUUGGGAAUUUUGGGAAUAAGACAUAGAUGAGUAUAGUUCCAUUCUGUUGGAAAUGAACCAGAGGUGAAAAAUUCCUUAACUUCCAUGGUGACUUGAUGACCAAUUAUCUCCCAAUAUUUUUGAAAGAAGAGACCUGUCAUUCCAUCAGAACCUGGAGCACUUGAAGGAUUGAUCGCAAAGACAGCCAUUUUAAUUUCUUCUGAAGACACAGGACGUAUCAAAGAUUCAUUCAUAUCCUGAGUGACUUUAGCUUGAAAAUCAUGAAAAAGCCAAUCAAAGUUCCCUGGAUGAGAAGUCUUGAAUAGAUCUGUGAAAUAAGCUGCAGCAAUUUCGCCUUUGGAAGCUUCAGAAGUUUGAGUAUUCCCAUUGUGAUCUUGAAGAGCCUCAAUUCUUUUCCUAGAUCUGUUUGCUUGAACGGAUGCGUAAAAAAACUUAGUGCUAGAAUCUCCUUCUAGCAUCCACUUUUCACGACUUCUUUGGCUCCAAAACGACUCCUCUUCUCUAUAUGCCACAAUCAACUGAUUCUUUAAACCCAUAAUAUGUAUCAUUGAAGGAUAAUUAGAAGAUUGUUCACUCUCCAAAGCCAUCUUGAGCUGAUUGAUUUUAUCCAGGGAAUUAAGGCAAUUAGCUCUCUUCCAUUUGCUGAGAGCGUUACGACAACCUCUAAGUUUAUCAGAAACAGAAGAGGAUUGUAGUGGAUAAACAUUUGACCAGGCUGUAAGAAUGGCUUCCUUUACCAGAGGCUUGUUGAGAAAUCUUUUAUCAAAUCGAAAGUUACCCUUGUAAGAUUGAUUGGAAGUUGAAAACUUGACCAGAACUGGGCGAUGAUCAGAUCCUCUUUUGUCAAGGAAGAUCUGAUUAGAUGCUGGAAAUUGACGAAACCAGUUUUUGUUACCAAAGCAUCGAUCUAACUUACUCUGAAUCCACAACUGACUUCUCAUUCCUCCCCAAGAAAAACUAUUACCAGAAGAUGGUAAUUCAUCCAUUCCACAUGUUCUGAUCAUAUCAGCAAAGUCUUUAAAUGUAGCUUCACUCCUCUUUGGACCACCUAGUUUUCUCCAUUGUGCAAGAUUUCAUUAAAAUCUCCUAUCANNNNNNNNNNNNNNNNNNNNNNNNNNNNNNNNNNNNNNNNNNNNNNNNNNNNNNNNNNNNNNNNNNNNNNNNNNNNNNNNNNNNNNNNNNNNNNNNNNNNCGCAUGGUCGGGCUGAGACACACGCACCUGCUCGUCGGCAAGAAGCAUUUCUAGUUUUACACCUAAAUCCAGUAGAUGCGAACCCUCCAAAGACUCAGAAUCUUCACCCGAACGUACUUAAGCGUCCUACCUCGAGAAAGAUUAGAAAGGUAGAUUUGCUCGGACAUCUUUGAACGAAAGCACCGCCCAAGACCCUUCAGUUUUCUAUUAGGAAUCAGAGAGAGAUAGAAAAUCUCGAAAUAAAUGAAACAAUUGUUUACAGUGCACAUACACGGUGGAAAUUGAAAUAAGCAGUCAUAGCCACAAAUUUUUAAAUUUAAAAAAUAUCUUUUUCCUAAUAACUAUUUAAAACAUAAGAACAGCAACAAAAUAAUAUUAAUAACUAUGUGAAUCUCUAGAUUAUACACAAAACAAACUCACACCAUAUUAAGAUAGAUAACGCCAAUAAGAAUAAUUAGAACCAUCGCUAAUAUGAUAUAAUGAGUUAGAUCGACAUAAAUUUUUAAAACAGAAUAUUAAUCAUUAACUAAAUAAAAUAUAUAGAAGCCAAAUAAAUAGCAACAAAUUCAAAUAAAAUAAUUACUCAUCAUCAGAGUCUUCAAAUAUAGGCCCCGAUCCAAAAUUUGGUACGGUUUGAUCAAUACCAAACACCAAAGGAUAUGAUCCGUAUCUAUCAACAGAUACAUCACUACCCUUAGCAAUAUAACUAAACAACAAAUAGAUACUGCUGUAACUCCUAGCUUUGCUUCCAAUCUCAGUCCUCUACAUCAAAAAAAAAAAAAAAAAAAAAAAACCCCAAAAAUAAGUAGACAAUAGAAAACAAACAAAUAAUUUAGAAAACACGAAGACAUCUAUAAUAAUAGGACAUAGGAUCUAACAAAUACGUAAACUACACACAACAUACCUCUUUCAAAAUAUUCGGUCGCAAUGAAUACUUCAGCCAACUCAAAACCUUUACAAACAAACAAAACAAUUAAAAUCAUACCUUAUAGAAUGGUAAGAUAUUCUGAUGUCUAUAUAUACAAGUCAUGACACAUAAGACAAUAAGAGAACAAACAUACAUGCUUACAAAAGCCCACGCGAUCCGUAAAACACGACGGAGCAACAACUCUUCUACGCCAAUCCCGUGUGGUCUAAAACAUCAGAGAAACAAAUAUAUAAAUUAAACAUAAAACGAUUAUUACGUUACAUAAUAAAUACACAAGAUUCGACAAAAUACCUUAUUAAAAUAAAACAUAUCAUUCGUGCAUCUUCGGGAGAAGGAAACACCAGCGGUUACCUAAGCCAACGGUACGAAAUAAGAAUAACCCGUAACAUUUGAUUAUCGCGAAAUAUAUAUACAAAAAACAAAAGCCAAAUCAUCAUUUAAAAGUUAGAAAAUUAAUAUCAAACUAAAACCGAUCCACAAUAACCAACAUAUUAGAUACAAAUAAGAGAAAUACCUGUUUCCAAUAAACCGACACAAACCGAGAUAUGAGUUCAUCGAGUACCUUCAAAAUCACGGUAAGAUGAAAAUCAAACAAUAAGAUGUCAAACCUUGUACAUAAACUCAAAACUAUUUGACAAUUUAAUUAUAAAUCAAUACUAAAAAAUAAAACGCAAUAAAAUCGCAUAUAAAAGUAUAUACGAUAACAGGAAGAAACACAUAAAUGUAUAUGGGUAAAUAAAUAUAAAAAUAUACAAAUUAAAACUAUAGAAGUACCUCCCCAAACCUCGCUCUUUGCUCGUCAACACCACCUUCGUCAGAAAGCUUUGUCGAUGGAACCUCCCACGUUAUACAAAACUGAAACACACACCAAAAACAACAAAUUAGCAAAACAAUAAAUCAUCGAAUAAUGCAAAAAAAUAAAACAAACAACACAAACAAUAUGCACACGACCUUUAAAGGUCCAUAAAAACAAUAUUUGCAUGACAAACAACUCGAUUCAUCAGAAUCGUAGUAGCUAUAUAAAAAAACCAUAACGGUGAAAACUAUCUAAUGGCCACAGAAAAAUAAUACCUAAUCCUCUGGCCGAUCAACAAUAUAUAUAGCUUUAAGAUUAGGGCAAACACCAAUCAUUAUCUUAAGAAAUUUUACUUUUUAAUUAGAAACAAAAUCAGAAAACUAACAAAAACGAAUUUUAACUGCUAAAUUAUAGAAUUAUCCAAAAAAUUAACAAAUAAAUUUAAGCUAAGAUUCCAUAAUCAUUAAAGUCGAGAUAUUAUGACCUCCAUAUCCCCAGCGAUCAUACUAUAAAAUAAAAAAAAUUAAGGGUGAUUAAGACUAAUCAUCACAAAACACGAUUAGACUUAUAUACCCUUAACAACUAAGAACAAAAAUUUUCGAAUUAAGGGUGUUUAGGACAUUAUAAUAGAGAUCAACACACGAUUAGACUUAUAUACCCCUAAUUACGAAGAAGGAGAAAUUUCGAGAAGAACAAUUCAUUAAGGGUGUUUAGGACAAAUCAUUCUAACUUUUAACCACAGGCCUCCAAUGCCCUAACUUUCAAUAUGGUGCGUUUCUACUUCUCAAAUAAUUAUUGUAGAGAUAGUGGCCACCAAAAUAGGUUAUAAAUUAUAUAGCACCAUUUCAAAAAUACCAAACAGAAAGAAUUCCAAAACCAGAUCUAAGUGCAACUACACAAAAGAAAAAUAAACCAAAAAAAGCAACUACUUUUGUUUUAAACAACUUCUAAAAUAAAACACCAACACAUCUGUAACAACAACAUAAGAACAUAGCACCAACAAUCAGAUUGAGUUAAUCUUUCUUUUUUUUUUCCCAAAAUAUCUUGCACCAGUCCUCUGUUUUCUACCGUAUGAAGUUUCUUAAUCUGUAUGUCUGAAAAGAUAUGUGUAGCAUACGAAUGGCCUCUCUGUAAUACUCCCAAGAUUCACUUGCAACCGUAAUAGCUUCUUGCCCGAAAGGGUUGUUCUUGAUGAAAUCUUGAACGUUUUCAGCUUCUACCAACUUCUCUAGAUGAAGUCUCAGAUCACCACCAUUACCUGAAUUCCAUUGAAGCAGCAUAAGUAUAAAUAGGGCAGAAGAUUUUCAAGACACAGAACAAAAAUGGUGAUGCUUCCUAUUCACUUAACCGUUAACAAAACCGCAAACUAGAAACCAAACUUAUAGCUGAAUCAGAUGUUUACCUAAGGAUGUGUCAGUUUUGUUCUGAUGGUUGUAUGAAUGAGGGAAUAUUGCUGUAUAUGGCUGUGACAUUCAGAUGGUUUAUUCAAAACGUUAAAAACAUCGAUAAGGCAAAAGAAUCGAUGUAUAAAUGACUCGAAGAAGAUGUGAGGACAUCACAAAAUAGCUUACCGGGUUAAGCAAAGCCUUGUAAGGAGAAUCAUCAAGCAAAACCGUGUUGGUUUCGUUGUAAUCACCCAUUUUCCAAGGAAGUCUUGGGUCAUGUUUCUCCCAGAGCCGGUUUAGAUCCUUGAACACCACAUAUUUAUGCCUAUUUUCAAGGGAACCAACAGUCGUUGUAGCACAAUAAGACAUGUCCUGUAAAAAUUAAAUCCCCGAAAAAUCGAUGAAAAUUCAAUAUUUACUCGUUUCAAAAACAGGAGAGUGCAUGGCAAGAACCAACUUACCCAGCAAAACAAAAGUUUAUUCUUCAAAUCACCAAGCAAGAACUCAGUGAUUCUUACAACAUUAUUCCUGCAAGCAAAUAAAAGUCAUAUCGAUUAUACACACAGAUAUGGAAGUAACAAUUAUAUGAUCUUAUAAAUAUGAGUAACGUCUUACUGUUUUCUCGAUGACCAGAUACCAACUUCAAAUUUGUCAAAACAGAACUUCAAAAACUCAUCACAAUAAGGUCUCUUAAAAACUGUCACAAAAAAAAAAAUGCAGACUAAUAAGUAAAACUAUCAACUAAAGUAUUAAUGUGGACUCACAAGUAAGUAACAAUGAACAAAAAGAUAAUGAAACUCACUUGCUCUUCUUCCAAUAUUAAUGUCCGCUGGAACAUCUUUUAGAGGAGUAACUAUAUCAGCAAGCAACCCAUUAAGAUCAAGUACAAGAAGUUUUUUCUUUAAGACCGAUGAAUUUGAUCCGCUCUCGCCUCUGAUUCCACUCAAAGCAACACAAGAAUCGUUGUUCACUACCACGGGAACUUCAUCACUUCUUGUACCACCCGAUAUAACAGAAGCUUCUUUAUUCUUUUCCACCUCUAAAACUGGAAGCUUUCCUAUAGUUUCACCACCCGAAACAACAUCUUUUCGAUCUGCCAAACUCAAUACGGAAACUUCUUCUAUCUUUCUCUCAUUCGAUUCAACUUCGCCAUUCUUGCGGCUUCCAUCGCCUGAUGCAACAGGAGUCUCAGUCUUCUCUUCAACAUCUAACAAAGAAACUUGUUCAUUCCCAUCAACCGCUGUUUCGUUUAGCGACAACAUUGGAAGCUCGUAACAAUUCUCUACCUUAUCAAUCACUCUAGCUUUCUUAAUCAGAGGUUCCUCUUCAACAGAAUGUUCAAUUGCUCUCAUACUAAACCCCAAAAACUCAGAAUUUGCAUCACUAAAUUACUUCAACCUAAAACUGUGUAACAAAUUCAAAGAGAAGAAAAUCAAGAACAGAGUAAACUUAUUCAGAAUUCAUAAAAAUAAAUAAACCUUUUGAUUUAAACAUUAAACAACUUGAUUAAUUGAAGAUAAUGCAAUGUUAAAACCACAAUUCACCUUUAAUGAUUAAUAAUCUAAGACUUUGCAAUAACAAUUUUCGUACAUGAAUGUCUGUAUCAUUACACAAUUGAUCGAUCUGGAUUUGGUUGAGUUAAUUCCGUACAAAUUCUCCGAUCAAAAAGGAACAAUUACAGUAAAAAAACUUACCGAUGAAUUUGGAGAGGAAGAACAAAAGUCGGAGACAGAGAGAACUCAAAAGUUGACCUUUUCCCAGAGAAUUUGGAGUGGGAGAGAAUUUAAGGAUCUGAGAGCAUAUGAAACGACAGGUUUUUGAUGUCGUUUGGUGUUCCCAAGGAUUUUUUGCAGAGAGACAAAGUGGCUUUAGACGUGACUUUGUGGGAUCUUUAGAUCUCGUGAUGUAAAUUUCAGGUCGGGUCGGAUCUUCGGAGCUGGGUUUAGUUAAUUUAAUUUAAUGAGCAAUGCUAAUGAAUUAUAAUGUCAAUUGAACAUACAUUUUUUAUUUUUCACUAGAACAUGGAAGUUUUAUUAGAACUGAAACCAGAAAUUACACACGCCGGCAAAGUUCGAGAUGACACUUUCCGGAUACAAAGCCGGCAAAGCUCAAGAAGACACUUUCUGGACACAAAGCCGGCAAAGCUCGAGAUGACACUUUUCGGACACAAAGCCGGCAAGAUACGAAACCUUCCGGAACCAAAGCCCCACACACAGGAAAACAUUAGACCCAAAAAGGGCACGGUCAUAGACCCACAAAGGGCACAACGAUAAAAGAUAAAAACUAAUUAUACAAUCUGAACAAAGGAGCUAAACAAACAAAUCCACAAAUUGUUUCAGAUUUCUUCUUUUUGCCAAUUGAAUCCGAGAUCGGAAGCUAUCUUCUAGUCUUCUUUCUUCACCUGAAGCUAUCUUCUGGUCUUCUUUCCUCACCUGAUAAUAUAAAGACUUCAAAAUUUAAAAUUUUGAGCAUCCUUAAGUCGGCAAAACGGUGAAACCUCACUAGAGGCUUGACAACACCGUAUAUGGAAGCCUGGGCCGGAAUAAUCGAGCAAAGCGACAUAGAUCCAGUAAGAGGAGCCAAGAACUGAUCAGAUCUCGUCCAGAUCUGAGAGUUAGUUCGAGUGGAGGAGACUUAAAAUUAGGCCGCCCAAAACCGAUUCACCACCCACUGCAAGAACCAAGGAUGGCUACGGGUCGACACGGUUAGAGCCAUGGAAACUUUUGACGCUUGGGAGAAGAAGAGACAAUAGUAAAAACGAAAGCUCUCUAAAUUCAGAUCUAAAACUAAAACAAACUGAAGCCGGACAAAACGAAAAUAAGCUGGAGACAAAAGCAAGACAAAAAGCCGAUUCCGACGCUGUGAAAGCCGCCCAAAGCCGGAGAUCUUAACGAAGAAAGCUUAGAGAGAAGGCACAUAAAAUUUUAAAAAAAGAGAAAGUAAAUUGAUUAGUUUGUUUGGUUUAGCUUAAUUGAAUUGAACAUACAUUAUGUAUCAAAUAAUUAAUAGGAAUAUUUUUGUUUAUUCAAAAAUAAUUGGAAUUUAUAUGAACUAAGCCUUUAAAUAUCUAAAAAUUAUUGAAUAAAAUAGAAAAUUUAUGUUUUAGAUUAAGGUGUUCAAUCCGGUUUUGUUUUUGAUUAUUCGAUCUCUCGAUUUUUCGGUCUAUAAGUAAAGGUAUCCAAAAAUACAUGGUUGAAUUUUUAUAUAAUAUUUUGCAAUGAUAUUUAUAUGAAUGUGAUUUACUUCGAUACAAGUUUUCU